This 46021-nucleotide long non-coding RNA is filed under the name Triticum aestivum (bread wheat). RNAcentral describes it as "long non-coding RNA (TAES_LNC017710)". The record is from RNAcentral. Lineage: Eukaryota; Viridiplantae; Streptophyta; Magnoliopsida; Poales; Poaceae.
UUUGUUUGGCAGAAAGAAGAAAGGGGAGACACCUACAGGAAUACUGGCUCAUGCCGCCAAGGCGUUAGGGCACUCAUCCGUCCAUGAUCUGCUGAUAAAGAGCUCCGAGAUGGUGGCUGCUGCACAGACGUUGUCCUCAUUCCCUAAGAAGAUCAAGAAGGUAUAAUUUUUUGUGUGACGAUGCGCGUUAGGAAUGGCUCCAAUGUUGAUGUGAUCGCCGUCGGCAUGCCCCCUCUAUGUCUAAAUUUGGGAUUAGUUUUAAACCUAAAUAAUUGUUAUUUGGUGUCUGUUUUGAGCAUGAACAUUAUAUCUGGAUCUUGUUUAUUGUGAGAUGGUUAUUCAUCUAAGUCAAAGAAUAAUGGUUGUUCUAUUUAUAUGAAUAAUAUCUUUUAUGGUCAUGCACCUAAUGUGAAUGGUUUAUUCUUGUUGAAUCUCGACCGUAGUGAUACACAUGUUCAUAAUAUUAAUGCCAAAAGAUGCAAAGUUAAUGGUUUAUUCUCGUGAAACUACCGCUUGGGUUAUAUUGGUGUAACGCAUGAAAAAACUCCAUGCUGAUGGACUUUUGGAAUCACUUGAUUAUGAAUCAUUUGAAACAUGUGAACCAUGCCUCAUGGGCAAGAUGACGAAAACCCUGUUUUCCGGUACAAUGAAGCGAGCAAGUGACUUGUUGAAAAUAAUACAUACUAAUGUAUGCGGUCCAAUGAGUGUUGAAGCACGUGGUGGAUAUCGUUAUUUUCUUACCUUCACGGAUGAUUUGAGUAGAUAUGGGUAUAUUUACUUAAUGAAACACAAAUCUAAAAAGUUCAAGGACUUUCAGAGUGAAGUAGAGAAUCAUUGUAACAAGAAAAUAAAAUUACUACGAUCUGAUAAUGGAGGUGAAUAUCUGAGUUACGAGUUUGGCACACAUUUAAGACAAUGUGGAAUUGUUUCACAACUCACGCCACCUGAAACACCACAGCGUAAUGGUGUGCCUGAACGUCGUAAUCCUAUUCUAUUGAAUAUGGUGCAUUCUAUGAUAUCUCUUACCGAUUUGUAACUAUCUUUUGGGGUUAUGCAUUAGAGAUGGCCACAUUCACUUUAAACAGGGCACCAUCUAAAUCCGUUGAGAUGACACAGUAUGAAUUAUGGUUUGGCAAGAAACCUAAAUUGUUGUUUUUCAAGUUUGGGGAUGCGACCCUUAUGUCAAGAGGUUUCAGCCUGAUAAGCUGAACCCAAAGCAGAGAAGUGCGUCUUCAUAUGAUACCCUAAAGAGACCAUUAGAUAUACCUUCUAUCACAGAUCCGAGGGCAAGAUAUUUGUUGCCAAGAAUGGAUCCUUUCUAAAGAAGGAGUUUUCUCUCGAAAGAAGUGAGUGAGAGGAAGGUAGAGCUUGAUGAGGUAACCGUGCCUUCUCUCAAAUUGGAGAGUAGUGCAUCGCAGAAAGAAGUUCCUGUGAUGCCUACACUAGCCGGAGAGGAAGCUAAUGAUGAUGAUCAUAAUACUUCAAAUCAAGCUAUUCCUGAACUUCCUAGGUCGACCAGGACACGUUCCGCACAAGAGUGGUACGGUAUUCUUGUCCUGGAAGUCAUGUUAUUGGACAACAAUGAACCUACGAACUAUGAAGAAGCAAUGAUGAACUCGUAUUCUGACAAAUGGCUUGAGGACAUGAAAUCCCAGAUAGGAUCCAUGUACGAAAACCGAGUAUGGACUUUGCUGGACCUGCGUGAUAACCAGCAGGCCAUUGAGAACAAAUGGAUCUUUAAGAAGAAGACAAAUGUUGAUGGUAAUGUCACCGUCUAUAAAGCUUGACUUGCCGCAAAGGGUUUUCCACAAGUUCACGGAGUUGACUACGAUGAGACUUUCUCACCCGUAGCGAUGUUGAAGUCUGUUAAGAUUAUGUUAGCAACUUCUGCAUUUUCGAUUACGAAAUCUGGCAGAUGGACGUCAAAACAACGUUCCUUAAUGGUUUCCUUAUAGGAAGAGUUGUAUAUGAUGCAACCAAAAGGUUUUGUCGAUCCUAAGGAUGCUAAUAAGGUAUGCAAGCUCCAGCGAUCCAUCUAUGGACUGGUCCAGCGAUCCAAAGGUGUUUGUUGGGUUGCAUGGAUCGAGAUUGGGAUUUGUCACUCCGUGUGGCAGAGAGAUAUCUCUAGGCCCUCUCAGUAAUACAACAUUAGAAGAAGCUUGCAAGCAUGUGAUUAAUGAGUUUAUUCAUGGGCCUUGUAUUACGGAACGAGUGACGAGACUUCCCGGUAACGAGAUUGAACUAGGUAUGGAGAUACCGCCGAUCGAAUCUCGGGCAAGUAACAUAUCGCUGGACAAAGGAAUUUCAUACAGGAUUAACCAAAUACUUGACAAUGUGGUUCAACCUAUAAAUAUCUUCGUUGAAUAUGUGGGAGUCAAUAUGGGCAUCCAGGUCCCGCUAUAGAUUAUUGAUCGAAGAGGAGUCUAGGUCAUAUCGGCAUGUUCUCGAACCCGUAGGGUCACACACUUAACGUUCGAUGGCGCAUGGUAGUAUUGAGAUAUUCAUAUGGUGAAGUUCAAAAGUAGUUCAGAGUCCCGGAUGGGAUCCGGGACAUUACGAGAAGCUCCGGAAUGAUCCGGAGGUAAAGAUUUAUGUAUGGAAGUCAUAUCAGGGUUCCAGAAAAUGUUUUUUUUUCGAUAUUGUACCAAGAUGGUUCCGGAGUGGGGCCCACCUGCAUGGGGCCCACAUGGACGUGGGUAGCGGGGCAAGGUCCCACACCCCUGGUCCAGGCUCACCAAGAUCCUCCCCUAAAAGGAAUAGGAUCAUAUCCCGAAGGGAUAAGAUCGAGAUCCCUAAAAAAGGGGAUAGCGAUCGGUGGGAAAGAAAAUGAGAAAUUUCCUUCUUCCCCCUUGGUCAACGACCCUAGGGGCUUGGAGGGCAAGCCACCAGCCCCCUCAAUGCGUAUAUAAAGGUGGAGAGGUGUUGGGGGCAGCCACCCUUCCACACUUGUCCGUCUUCCUCCCGUUACAACUACUCCACCUCGCGCGGAUGCUUGACGAAGCCCUGCUGCAGUUCCACUGCUGCCACCACCACGCCGUCGUGUUGGUUUAGAUCUCAUCUACCUCCUCCCCCUCGCUUGUUGGAUAAAGAAGUAGAUGACGCCACCGAGCCAAACGUGUGCUAAUCUCGGAGGUGCCGCACGUGCUGUGCUUGUGGAUCGUGACACAAGUACGACUACGUCAACCACGAUCUUUAGAUCGUUAACACUUUCGGUCUAGAAGGGUACGUAGACACACACUCCCAUCCGUUGCUAGCACCUUCAUAGAUAGAUCUUUGGGUGUUUCGUUGGAUUUUUUUUGUUUUUCCAUGCAACGUUAUCCAUCAUUAUUCACCUACAUUCUUACCCAUUUCCGCACUCAUCAAAUGUAUGCAGCGUGACAACGACGGUGAAUUUAUCAACACCUCACUACACACCUUUUUCUCGAACGACAACAUUAUUUACCGUCUCUCUUGCCCUCAAUGUUCUCCCCAAAACGGCAAGGCCAAGCGCAUGAUUCGCACUACCAACGAUGUCGUUCACACUCUUCUCCUACACGCCAAUCUUUGGGCGGAGGCGUUGCACACCGCCACACACCUCACCCGACGCCCAUCCACUAAAACCACACCAAAUCUAUACCUAUACUAAUUACAGACUCCCUAGAAAUUACCGCGUUAAUCAGAAAUUACUAGCCGUCCAUCUGGGGGACCGAAUCUAUACCUAUACUAAUUACAGACUCACUAGAAAUUACCGCGUUAAUCAGAAAUUACUAGCCGUCCAUCUGGUGGGACCGAAUUAUUAAGGUUUAGAUCCACCAAUAUAAUUUUUUUAGUAUAACUUUUUUAGUAUAAUUAGCUGUUACAAUUUUGCAAUUCGAGAAAUUUGCUUAAUUGGGCCGGAAAAUAAUAUUCAGGGAAAAGGUACGAAUCGUUUCUCUUCACGAUCUCCUCUAAUUAUCUAUACGUACCAGGUAACAAAAGUUUCCUUGAAAAAGAAAACCGAUUUUUUUAUCUAUCCUAACUAAUACACGUAUACUACAUGGAUUCUCUCCUCCACGAUCUCUCUUCUCCAUUACCUCUCUCUCCCACGUACUACAUGGUUCCUCUCUCCUCCAUGAUCUCUUCUUCUCCAUUAUCUCUCUCUCCUCAGAUGCAGUUACAAUUUUGCAAUUCGAGAAAUUUGCUUAAUUGGGCCGGAAAAUAAUAUUCAGGGAAAAUAAUAUUCAGGGAAAAGGAACGAAUCGUUUCUCUUCACGAUCUCCUCUAAUUAUCUAUACGUACUAGGUAACAAAAGUUUCCUUGAAAAAGAAAACAGAUUUUUUAUCUAUCCUAACUAAUACACGUAUACUACAUGGAUUCUCUCCUCCACGAUCUCUCUUCUCCAUUACCUCUCUCUCCCCACGUACUACACGGUUCCUCUCUCCUCCAUGAUCUCUUCUUCUCCAUUAUCUCUCUCUCCUCAGAUGCAAAGCAAACCCAUCCACGGUCUCUUCCCCUUUUCCACUAUCUCUCUCAAUGUCCCGAUAGAAUACAAAUCCAUAUUCUCUCUUAACCUGAAGGCAUAGAUCUGAAAAAUCUAUAGCGCCUACUACGCUCUAGCCCGACGUGCGGCUGACCACCUGAUCCAGCGCGCUGGGCAGACCCGGCUAGACACACGGCGAUAGACUUCCUCAUCUAUAUCGGAUUCGUAUAGUCGUGGUAUUUAUUCUCGGUUUGUUUUCUUGCUGACUUAUACUUGAAUCCAUCAUGACUUUUCCUUUGGAUCCAGAUUGAUUUCUUUGUGUCAUGCCGCCCUACAAAUCCUCAGGCCGCCCAACGAAUCCCCAGGCUCCGUCACCUUUGCUCGCCUCCAUCCUCACCCCCGAACAUCUGAACAGCCUUUUUGGGUACAUAUUUUGCUAUAAAGGAGUUCAGCUAUGCCAUGGUGUAUACGUGGUUGUUCAUGUGCAGCAGUGUGCAGGUCUGGAGAGGUACGUAUUGUAGUAACAAAAAUUAUCAGAUUGUGGUGCAAGAAUGCUUGGUGAGCACUGAGCAGACAUGUUGAUAAGCCAGUCACUGCCUUGUGAGGUUCACUGUUGAUGAUCAGAGACUAAUAAUCCAUAUAUGAGGACAUUUGAUUUUUCUGGUCAGGGAGUAUUCAUCGGUGGAAGACCCAUCAGUACUUGCCAGAAUAUAUAUGUACAUACCUGACUGCAACGCAUGCUUGCAUCCCGUUCCAUCUGCAGAAAAAUUGAGGUAAUUGAAUCAACUAGGUUUGAUCUGCUAUAUGUGCAAUACAAUGGAAUUUGUUGGCAAAAACAAUUAAUUUCUUAAUCCAUAUAUGAGGACAUUUGAUUUUUCUGGUCAGGGAGUAUUCAUCGGUGGAAGACCCCUCAGUACUUGCCAGAAUAUAUAUAUGUACGUACCUGACUGCAAUGCAUGCUUGCAUCCCGUUCCAUCUGCAGAAAAAUUAAGGUAAUUGAAUCAACUAGGUUUGAUAUGCAAUAUGUCCAAUACAAUGGAAUUCGUUGGCAAAAAUAAUUAAUUUCUUACUUAAGUACACAUAUGUCAGAUCAGAUCGAGGCUCAGAGCCUAGCAUAGAAUUGCAUCGGCGAUGCCGAUGGCCAUCAACAAUCCAAUAGACAUAGAUGCAUUGAGCCCAUGUCGUAGUGCCCAAAUGGCAGACCAUUGCGACUAAGUCGAAGACUUAGGUAAGCCCCAGAUGAUAAUAGCAUACAUUGUAUGUCGCUGCAUGGUAGAAUGACUCCACGAGAGAAUUUCCGUCAUGGUUGGAGACCAGAUCAUAUUAUGGCGUCCAAUAUCCACUUUAGCAGACCAAUGUGCAUGCUUUGGUUCAGCAUUCUGCAUAUAAUAAGCGACCAACAGGAGCAGCCUAUGAUGGAGUCCUAAGAAAAAUUUCAAAAACAACUGCAAGUCUAGGCUAUGUUGUGGUCUCAUUUGGGCAGAAAAACUGCUUUGAAAAUUGAGACUACUCAAGAUGGUAUAAGAUGUUUCACUUCUCAUGUUUACUGUUUUCUUUUCUACCGAGAUCUAAUUAGUGCCGUUUUCUUCUAUCAUUUUUAUAAAAUUGUAUGUACACUAUAAUACAAUUUAUAUCCUGAGAAAAUAAUAGCAUCGGAGAGCUAGCGGUUUGGGCGUAAGGGGCAUGGAGAAAACCUGGCAUUGUUCAAGGCACCGCUGCCGGACGCGUUGUUCCACAAGCCAUGUUUUCUGCUGUCCAGUACAACAGACCAGGAAAAUUAGUAGCUUCAUACAUGGAUGUUCAGGUAUGCAAUCAUCUUUUAUACACAAAUGAUCUUCAUAAUAUAAAUAUGAAUUUAGACUGCGCUAUAGCAGCACAGCUACAUGCUUCUAUAUUAUGCAUGAACUGAAGUAUGUGAUGGUUGAUCUAUGGAGGGCACACUAUACAGCAGGUACAUUUGAAAAAAUAAUACAACUUACAACUUACAUUAUCACAAUCUUUCCUGUAAAUUAAAAUCUUUGUUCCCUACCAUGGUAGUAGUAAAUAAUCCGCCAUCUAUUGUCUCAUCUCAAUAUCUCUUGCCUUGAAGCUUUAUCUAUGUGAGCUACCGGAUGACCUAUUCUAUUGCGUAGUGGCGAUUGCUACGCGUUUGGGCUGGCGUAGUCUCAUGGCCCUCAUUACAGGAUGUGUGGUAUCCUAGAAGCAGCUUCAAUCGCAGAGAAUGGGAUGCAUGCACGUGGGCAGUUUUUCGACACCUCAUGCAAAUAAAUUCAGAGCACAACCAUGCCCAUCAGGUGAGCUUACACAAAUUAAACAUCAUGUUGGUUCACAACAUCGUCGACCAUGACCAUCUGGCGAGGUUAUACAAAUUAGACACCAUGUUGGUUCACAACAUCGUAGAUGGUUCGCUGAUCUAACUAGGUGCCAAUGUUUUCUUUGGUCUGUUGUUGUCACUGUGCAUGUUAGGGAAUCAUCUUUUGUGUUCUUUUGCAGGUUCAAUUUUUUUGUAAUCCUUUAAUUUGUUAUAUCAAGUUCAACUAUUUUUCUUGGCAAUUUAAUGUUUAAAGCAAUUGCGCGUGAUAUGAUGGUCAGAUUAAUUAAGAUGUGGGAUACCAUUAACGUUAACAGUGAACUUACUUGAUGAAGAGGUCAGUUUUCUGAUUUGCCAACAUAAACAUUAUACAAUCAGUUAUAAUAGUUAUUACAAAAAUACUAGGACAUCUUCUCCCAAAAUUAUUAUUGUUUCAGGGCAUGAUACAUGAGAAGGUAAUGUAACAUAUGGUUAUCAAGUCCAGUCGCUGAUCCAAGAAGGUUCAGUCUAAGUUUACAUCUUCGCCGUAUUUCCAUCAAAUUGGAGGUGAGAAGACACCUUAUUUCUUGCACACUAAUCCAAAAAAACUAUUGGAAGAGAUUGAAUUUUUAGUUUAGACUGAAUGAAUAUAAUCUCAAUUCUCAAGUACAUUUACCAAUAUUACACUAUUUAUGCAAAAAAUCGCAGAUUUUGAAGAAGACACGUCAUUAAAGCAUACAAAUGUCGAACAAGUUCUGUUAUUUCCACCAUGAGGCUCUAUAUUGUUUUGUAUGUGCAAGCCAUAUUAAAAGUUUGUUAUGCUUUUCUAGGAGACUAUUACCAGGACACCAAAUGUCAAAAUUUAAAUGGACAGCAGGCAGACUAUAAAUCAGUUGUAAAGGUAACUAAAAAUUCUAGGAAUGGGAACAGCUCUCGUGUUGUACAUUCCGAUGGAUAAUCGGAAAAUGAGGGUAGUAUGGAGAAAGAUGAAUCCAUAUUCAAGGAAUCAAGAGUUGAGAGAAAGUAUAUAAUAGCUCACAGAUGUGGCGGCAUUCGUAGAAUACCAGAAAACAUUAUUGAGAUUAACCAUAUAAGCUUUUGUGGUGUAUUUGCAUGUUCUUUCAUAGUUUUGCAUGUCUAAUUGUUAAAAAUGAUUUUGCAGGGGCAAGUGCAAAACUUAUUUGUUCUGAAAACUAUAAAGCAAGAGCCGGAGGAUGAUGAACUCCACCUCCAUACCACCUAAAAGGAUUAGGGGAAGGAGCACAAGUCGUGUCACAUCUAGAAGAGGAAUAAAAAAAGGAAGGUACUCAGGUGUUGAUAUAAAAUCACCGAAAUAAGAUAUAGAAUGUCCAGUGUGUCCUGGACUCGAAAAUUAGUUAUAAUUGGAACAGGUACAAGCAUUCUUAUCUAACAAAAUGUAAUAUGGUCCAGAUAUAGCACCUUUUUUUAAAUUGUUCCACCAUCCAUGCGUCACAGUUUCUCCCUCUCUACCCUGCUUGCAUCUCUCAGUUCCCCUCUGCAAAAUUUUAUUUGUGAGCAUGGUAGUUCUCUAUGCAUCUACAUCUGAACAUCUACCUUUUUUGCCACUGAUGUAAACAUCUACCAUUGUGCAGCUAAUUUUUUUAGCAAGGGGUAACAACUGAUUUCAAACAAUCAAGAUGAGUUAUGUUUGCAUCACGGUUAUGAAUUUGAGACUCGGUGAAGCUAAAGAACUAUAGACGAAACAAGAACAUUUUGUCAGUACCUAUAACUUUCUUUUCUUAGACGGACCCUGAAAUUCACAUGCAGAUUUAAAAAAAUGGAAACUAGGCAAUGUGAUUCAUAUGCCCACAGUACAACAAUAACCAUUUUACAUGUUGUAUCUGCCUAGCACUGACCUUCCUCUGCUAUAAUCUCUCCAGGAUGCAAUGUUGAAUCACCUAAAAAAUGAAAGGAGGUUUGGGAUAACGUAGAGAGCGUUGUUUGACAUCUCAAAUUUUAUUUCAUAGAGAGAGGAGAUUGGAAAAAAUUUGACAGGACAUCUGCGCCAAAUGAUACUACCGAGACCGCCGACGAUCCUCGGGAAAACCUGUUACUGAUCUAAAAAGACACACAAAUUAGUAGUACCUGUGGUGUGUCUCCAUACCAAAAGUACAAUUAUUACAGAUAUAUACUUUUUUAAUAUAAAAAACUGUAAUAAAUUAUAUGGGGACUAAUUUGAGUUAACCAUCGGAAAAUGUGCAAUGAAGAUCGGGAUAAUUAUUUUUUUAAUCUUUCUAACAAUAACUUCCCAAAUGGAUGUCAGCACUCCAACCAAAUCGAUGUCAGCACUCCGACCAAAUAAUCUAUUACGCCAAAAAAAUACUCCAAUUUAUAUAAAUAAAAUGCCAUCACUUCCAAUAAAGAAAAUUUUGAAAUCGUGACAAACGCUCACUCUGGGGUAACCAAUCGUCCAUAGGAUUUUUUGAAAGCAUUAUAGAAUUGUCUAUCGAGCAUAGCAAGUCAAUCUGAGAUGCUGACGAGGAUGUAUGGAUAAAACCACUAGAUAUAAAAGCAAAUGAUGAGUAAGCAUAUGAUAAAACACCGGUUUGGACUACAAAUUAACAAGAGUAAUCUGCCUAUAAUAUUGAAUAAAUUAAGACAUUGGUUUUUAAAAAUGGAUAACGAGCUUUUUGAAUUGCUCUAAAUCCAUUAAUUAAUAUGUGAACCGGGCACAUGAAUAAUCAUGUUGUGUGUUUCAUGGGAAUACAUAUUUAUCACUACCAUAAAUAUCCUAGCCCGUGCGAAUGCGCGGGUUGACGACUAGUACCCCUAAUUUUCUUCUCACCAGCACACAUCCUCGCUAUGACCACCUACGAGUUUUCGGCUGCUUAUGCUUUCCAAAUCUCUACGCCACUAGCCCCCACAAAUUAGCUCCCUGGUCCACAAAUUAGCUCAAAUCCUGCCGUGUCAUCAUUUCUCGCCAUGUUAUAACAAUACUUCUGUAUACCCCACCCACACCCGCGGUCACACGCGCACCGGCCACACCGGAUGCCCCCUCUGCGAUCCACCUGUGCCCGAUCCACUCUGGAAUCCACCUCCCACCAACAUCGCACGCCAGCGGCCCUUGAAUGACCGCCUCAUUAAUCGGCCAGUUGGUGAGGAUUUCCAGCGGUAAUCAUGCAAUUAUUGCGACCAAAACAAAACACGUUGGUUGACUGGUUCUACUCUAUUUUCACGAUUUUUUUUUCACCUAAGUACUAUGCGUCUAGAUUACGCCGCUCCUCAUUAAAAACCCUAUGCACCUAGACCGAGGAAGCACAGUGCUCACCAACAAAGGUUGCCCGCCCACCAACCCGAAAAGUGAGGACGAGCUGUGGGAGGGAAAACAUCGAGCAAAGGCGGGGGAGGAGACGGGACAGCGCCGAGAAGGGAAAAUUUCAAAAUUUCCGGGGCAAUUGACUGGCGCCAUCCGACACCAGCUACUCCCGCCCUUCUUCCGCGGCGCGGCGCCAUAAUCCGAGAUCUGACCCUCCUUCCGCCCCCCAAAAUUCAUCACAUCAAACACCUCUCGUCUCUCCCGGGGCACCCACCUCCCGAGCUUCCUCCUCAUUUCACACCCCACUUCUCCCGCCCUUUCUCGAGCGCGUCUCCAUGGCCAAGAAAGGCGCCGGCGGUGAGGAGAGUGUGGUCGUGCCGGCGCAGACGGAGCAGGCCAAGCAAGGCCCUCCCCGAAAGCGCAACCCGUGCCCCGGAAUCCGCUGCGUCGGCGGCCGGAUCUAUGACCCGGAGAACGGGAAGACCUGCCACCAGGUGAGCGCCUGCCGUCGCGCAUCUCCCCCACCCUUUUGGAUCUGUCGGGGGCGGAUUUGGCUGACCCUUCGUUGUUGUUGUUUUCGUCACGCGCUCGCAGUGUCGUCAGAAGACGAUGGACUUUGCUGUGGCUUGCACGCAGCCCCGGAAGAAGGGGCUCUGUCCAAUCCACUUCUGCCACAAGUGCUUGUUCAACAGGUGAAAGAAUUUCUUCAUACAGUUUCAAGCCACGAUCAUCUCCGUGGUCGAGCAAACUAAACUGACCAUCGCAGAGCCCCUUGGUCUGAUCUGCUUUGCUUCUUCGUGGCUUGUUUAGGUAUGGCGAGAACGCCGAGGAUAUGACCAAGGAGGCGGGCUGGACCUGCCCCAAAUGCAGGGGCAUCUGCAACUGCAGCUUCUGCAGGUCAGCCAACGAAGCUGAUGCACGGCUAUAAUGGGAUUUCUUGUGUAUUUCUGUCUUAGCUUGGUUUUGUUUGACAGGAAGAAGAAAGGGGAGACGCCUACAGGAAUACUGGCCCAUGCUGCCAAGGCGUCAGGGCACUCGUCCGUCCAUGAUUUGCUGAUAAAGGGCUCCGACAUGGUGGUUGCUGCACAGACGCUGUCCUCGCUCCCUAAGAAGAUCAAGAAGGUACAAUUUUUCGCUUGGUAACUCUCUGCUGUAUAAUGUAAUUGCUCAUCAUUGUUCAUCUGCUUUGUUGGUCCCUUUGUUAGGAACGCAAGGAGGGCAGCUUAAAGAGGGCGCUAGGGACAGAUGAUGCUACCGGUGGAUUGUUCGCUGAAGGGGAUGAGAAUAUUAAGACUGAUCUCAAUGCACUUCCUUCAGUUCCUAUCAAAAAGAAGCUGAAGAAGAUCAAGAAGGUACAUUUUUGCCUGGCAAUUCUCUGUUGUAUAAUGUAGUUCUUCGUUAUUGUUGAUCUGUUUUGCUGGCCCCUUUGUUAGGAACACAAGGAGGGCAACAUAAAGAAGGUGCCAGGGACAGGCGAUGCUACUGAUGGAUUGUUGACUGAAGGGGAUGAGAAUACAAACACUGAUCUCAAUGCAUUUCCUUCAGUUCCUACCAACAAGGAGCUGAAGAAGAUCAAGAAGGUGGUACAUUUUUUGCUCGGUAAUUCUCUGUUUUAUAAUGUAAUUGUUUCAUUAUUACUGAUCUGUUUUGCUGGCCCCUUUGUUAGGAACGCAAGAAGGGCAACAUAAAGAAGGCCCUAGGGACAGAUGAUGGUACUGAUGGAUUGUUGGCUGAAGGGGGUGAGAAUGCAAGGACUGAUCUCAAUGCAGUUCCUUCAGUUCCUACCGACAAGGAGCUGAAGAAGAUCAUGAAGGUGGUGCAUUUUUUGCUUGGUAACUCUCUGUUUUAUAAUGUAAUUCUUCAUUAUUACUGAUCUGUUUUGCUGGCCCCUUUGUUAGGAACACAAGAAGGGCAACAUAAAGAGGGCCCUAGGGACAGAUGAUGGUACUGAUGGAUUGUUGGCUCAAGGGGAUGACAAUACAGGGACUGAUCUCAAUGCACUUCUUCCAGUUCCCAUCAGCAAGAAGCUGAAAAAGGGCAACCACAGGGUAAAUGACAUGACUGCUGAUGAAAAGUGCCCUGUUGAAAUUAAGGGCGAACUUCACAUUAGGAAUGAGAGCACUGAUGUCCCAGGGACCAAAAUUGAGCUACCCAUAGGUACUCCAGUCACUGACAUUGCAGGGGCUGAGCUGGAGGUUGAUGAUGUUGGGUCUGCACUUCAGUUUCAUGAAUUCUGCCGCACAUUUGCAGAGGUACUUAUGUCAAGACAAUCUUUCAGCUUUUACUUUCUUGUUCUGUUGUGCAAUACAAGCGCCAUGAGCUCUCUUAUGGACUAAAGAAAAUAUUCUUGUGCUGCAUUUCUUUUUAUGUUGAUGCAAGGUUUGUCAUUGGUUAUGUAUAACUGGUUCUGUUUAAAAAAAGUUUAUGUCUGCAGAACAGAAAAAGGUGUUGUUGCAUUAUGUAAUUGUUGUUUCAGCCUUUCAGGCCAAUGUUAGAACUAAAGCAAAGUGAUGUCAGCAGCUUCUCCUUUUUUUUGUUACAUUAUCCUAUGUUUGUUCUGAUGUAGAGCAGUCAGCCAUGCCAUUAGGCUUUAGUGCACAUAUUUAAUCAAAUGCAAAUAGUAUUUUAAAGUUAUAUAAAAUUCAUAGUUGUCCAGAAUGAGAGUGGCAGCCAUGGUGAAAUACUGACACGUGAUAAUGGUAACACUGUUUUGAGACGAUCCAAAUAAGUUGUAUAAAUUUCAAAGAUAUUUAUUUGCUCAUGCAGACAAUUGCAUUUUAAGACUAUAUUGGUGAUCAGGACGUGUGUGUAUGCUAGUGCAUCUAUCUCUGAUGAUCUGCAUGCGUGAUUUGACCAACCACCAGAAAGUGUAAUAUUUGUCUUACAUCUCAGAUUCAUCCUAUAUUGUCAUGGAUAUUUUUAUACACUAGAUGAUACCCUGCAUGCUGCUGUGGGAGUUGGUUGCAAUAUAUUUUAAUACUUGUUUGUGUGGAGCGUGAAUAUCUGGUUAAAUUAUAAGAUUUUAGAAGGCACAGUGAUAGUAUAUUAUAUUGAAUUGCUUAUUUUUCUUAGAGCAGCCUUUUGUCUUGAUAAGCUAGUCUUAAAAAUGGGUCUUGUUUCCAUGGUUUAACAUGUUAAUAUGGCACCUUGUGGCUGUUCGAAUAUAAUUUGUUUUGUAAAUGGAAUAAUGUCGCAAAUGAUUUUUUUGCGCAGGUUCUUAAAAUAAGAAAGGGACAGCCAGAAAAAGUUCUUCAAGUCAUCACUGGAGGAGGCCGUAUCGGGCGAGAGGUGCCUUCAGUUGUUGCUGACCUUCACAUUAGUUUGUUAUCUGUCAUCCAAGAAGACAGAGAAGAGAAGUACUUACAUUCUGAAUUGAUAUUUCUUUGUUGUUGUGUUUAAACUGAUUGUUAAAUGACUAAAUGAGGUUAUUUUGUUCAUAGCCCUUCGGACUAUUCAAGGAAUGGUGAUGCUUGGAUAAUUGAUACUGGCAAAUAUAUUAGUGAAUCCACAGUUAUCUCGAAGGAACUGCCUGUUGAUUGUUUAAGUCAAGGGGUAUUAGGAUAUAAAAAAUUGAGCCCUUCUUUAAAGCUGCAUGUGCUGAAUUUUCUGUGUGAUGAGGCCCUUUCUACUGCGUAAGUACUGCCUACUGUAUUUGCUGUAGUAGUUCACUUCGCUAUUUUACUUUCAUAUCAAUAAUAUUUUGUUUUUGUUCAGAACAUUAAAGAACUGGGUUCUCAAACAGCAUGAAAGUGCAACUGAGAGAAAGGUUGCUGCAAGGGAAAAAUUCCGUGCUGUCAAGGAAAAGGUAAGAGAGCUCGGGCAACCUUUUUUAUGUGUGUCUAGUCACUUGCUUUUUUUUACACUAAUAAACAACCACUUUCCUCUGGUUUUAUAGGAAAAGGAGCUUAAAGAAAAACUAACUAUUAAGAUGGCUAAACCAAGGUUUUUGAGAAAUGGAGCAGAAAUUAAUAGUCUCGUUUCUCAAAUUAAGGAGGCAUAUGAAGACAAGAAGGCAGUAAUAGAUGGUCUGAACAUUAUGAAUUUAUAUAUCUACAUUUUUUUAUCUUUCUGCAUCUCAUUAGUUCUCCGUAUGCUUGAUGUUUUGCAGUUUCUUUAAUAUAUCUUUUUGUAUUGUGCUUGGUUUAGCUUUCUGCACUUUCUUCAAGAUUUAGCUUGAGUUUGUGUACAAAAAAUGUCACCAGUUCAUUUAUACCCCUGUAUAUGUGAAUUCACUUCAGUUUUGUUAAUUGAGUGUUAAGCCUGUGUAUAUUUUCAUUGUGGUACUAAUAUUUUUCUGCAGCUCAACAGAACAUUAAACAUGUAUGCACUUACUAAGUUUCUUAGUUGCAUGUAGCCAUGUGCCUUUUUCUGGAUGUGAAGUAACUAAAGAACAUGCUCAGCCUUCAGUUUCAUUCCAAACAGAACACUGUUUAAAGAAUAUAUAUCUUAUUCUGUAAUGUGCAAGGCACUGAGCUGUGUGAACUAAUUAUCUUCUGUUACCUCUCAAUUAUGGCAAUAUCAGAGGAGAAGCUGGGAGGUCUAGUUAGGAAAAAGCCUGUCAGGAUAGAUGAAGGGGUUGCGUACUGGAAGCUGGAUGGUUAUUGUGAUAAGACAGCAAUAAUGCGCCAAGGUUUGUCUGAAGUUAUUAUGCAAUACCCUUUCAUGUUACUCAUUUAUAUUGUUGUAGUUAGUGACUACUAAUAUCAUAUUUGUAUCAGAGUUUGACGCAACAGAGAACACUGACAAGUGGUUUAUGUUCACCGAGGAAGAAGAAAAAGUAAUCAAAGGUCAUGUAGCCCCAAGGUAAGGAGUUUACCAUUUAUUUAGAAGUUUUUUUUUCCUUUAUGAAGAUAGUAUACUUGUUGUUUAAGAACUAUCAAUUCACUAAAGUUUAGAUCCCCAAUUUUUUAUCGUUGCACGGUGCUAUCGUUAUUUGACAAGUCUGACUAGCAAUGUAACCAAAGUAUAAUCAUGAGUUUCUCUUGGUUCCCACUUACUAGUAUAUGUCCUGUUGAGAUUAUUCACAUCUAACUUGGGCCCUGUUGUAACUGGUUAAUAUAGGCCCCAGUUGAAGCGCAAAAACAAAACACAUACCUUGGCUGGGCACAAUGCUCUACCGAUCUCAAGCUCCAUGAAAACUCAGACUCCUGUUUCAGCUGUUUGAAGGUAUUUAUUUGAUCCUUUUGCUGUUCAUUUUUCCUAGACCCAAUGGCAUGCCACACUUCCAUACAACCGAGACUGAAAUGUGUCAUGUUACAAUGGCACCGUCAUGAGAGCGCAUUUUUGGAACCUGGGUACAUGUGAACCCAAUUUUGAAAACUUGGAGAAAGUUGUUUUUGUAAGCUGUGAAAAAUUAUAAGAAAAAAAAACCCACACAAGUAGAUGGUGGGUAGAAAGUUGUCCUUGUGAAUUCCUACCCAACACCUACAUGCAUGGGUUUCGUUGUAACUUUUCAUAUGUCAAACACUUAAGAGUGGUGAUUUUUGAUACGUUUGGAAAAGUGGCUGAUGGCACGUCAUUGAAUGUUUUGUUUUGGCAGGUGGAUGAGCUAUGCUAGCUGAGGAAUGGGGCGCUGCAGAGGAUAUAAGUGGCUGAGCUUUGCUGUAGGGAAGUUACGCAACUGCAGAAGAGCCAACAACUAUCUGAAGAUGCAGUCACAGCAUUCUAUUCCCUGGGUCAUGCCAUGUUUUGUCUGGAUUGGAACUUUGGAAGUUGUUAUUUUUACGUUGCAAUUGUUCUGUACAUGUUAUUACUAGUUUAAGGGAAGGUUUCUGUGAAACAUCCAUUGCAUUGGUCUGAAUAAUCAUCGUUUGAAUGUUCUCACUAUGGUUGUAUAAUCAAAUCGUCCUGUAGCAUGCAUGUACCAACAAAUUGACUUCACUGUACUGUAUCUGGUGAUCAUGUUAUUACUCAUGCUCCUACUCUUUUAUGGUCAUCUUAUGCUACUCUGGAUGAGAGCUGUGUAUGUUAUGCCACAUAUGUCAAAUUUAUGCAUUUCAACACUGUGGUGGGUUUAUGAUGUGCAUGAUCAUGCUGUUCUGUUGAUCAUUGUUUUGCUCCUUUACGUCAUGCUGACCAUUUUGCUAUUUUUCUUCCUGUACAAACCUGAAACAUGCAUUCAUUCUGCUAUACAAAUUUGAGUUUCUAUGUUAUAUCCAGUUUGCUUAUUUCAAAGCUGUCUACAUACUGAAUAGGAGCAACAUUGCACAUACACAUUAUUUUCUGGAAACUUUUUUUCCCUAUGUGCAUGUUUUUAGAAUAUGCUGAACCAUAGAAUCUCCAACUGGAAACGUUUCUGGCCGUGACAGCUAAGGUCGGGAUGGAAAGGAGAAAAAAAAAUGGAAAGGGAAGAAUUAUCUGUAUUUCCAGCAUUUCAGCAUCCAUCUUUGGCAAUCAGUAAAUGGCAUGGUUAAUUCUGUUGUAACUUGUAACCGCUGGGUUUUUCUUUUUGCGGAAUAACCGGUGUAUUUUUUGCAACAGUAUGUCAUACUGGUUUAACGCUUGAUGCGUUUACAUGUGUCAGAUUAUGAUAAUCCUGUUUGCCUAGCCAGUUUUUGUAUUUUAACUCACCAUUUGGUUAACAGCUAUGCUUAUUUCCCAUACCAGUUACAAAGUACUCCCUUCGUUCCGAUUUAUUGAACUAAAACCACGACGAGUAAAUCGGAACAGAGGGAGUAAGUCCGGCACAACUUAGUCCAAUGACCAUAAACUGAGCCUAAAAACUACUGCACUAUUCAAAGUUCAGAAUCAGCGGGUAUGAAAUUGAGAAGUUAAUAAUAGUGCAAGAUCAUAGAGGUUACGGACCUCUUUGAUUUGGAAGAUUCUCAAAAGACAGUGUCGGUGGAAACGACACCUAUGGGAUCACUGGAUCCCUUCUACGGUUGGCGUGUGCGGGGUUGUGCAAAGAGCGGGUCUGGUAGUCAGCACAAGGAUCGUUUACCCAGGUUCGGGCCGCGAAGAUGCGUAAUACCCUAGUCCUGCUUUGAUGUAUAUUUGAGUGUUCUUGAGCUCUCGAACUAGCUACGGGGCGUGCGUAGUCCAAAAGAUCCGAAUCCUCCCCCAGUACGCCUCGGACCUUCUUUUAUAGACGAAAGGGGUUGCCACAGUGGCACACAAGAGGUGGAAAGGUAUAUAGUGUACAAGCUUAUCGCCUGUCAUUACGGGACAAGGUGCAUUAAAUUCGCCCCUUAGGUGUCCCGUUGCUUUAUUGGGGACGGCAACGAGGCCCGUCCCGUCCGUCACCGCCCCGCCUCGCUCCGACACGCGUCCAGGCCAACAAUGCAUGCAGCGCCACGUAGGCUGACAGGCUGCUGAGAUGGCGUGGUGGUAGGGUCUUCACGAAGAUCUGCAUGCCACCACGCAGGUGCUUGCUGAGUUGGCCUGGAAGCCGCACGUUGCCACGUAGGUGCCUGCCCAGCUGGUUGGGCUGGCAGUUGUAUGGGAACGACGGUGGAGUCUUGGCAGACGUGGGUCUGGCUGUGGCCCCGCAGGUGUCCUCGGCAAGGGUCUUCCGUGGCAUCGCGGUCGUCCCCGGCAAGGAUCUUGCAGGAGGUCUCAUGGAUUUCCUCGGCGAGGAUCUCGCGAGGAUCGUCGUCUUAUGGUCCUCAUCUGAUCUCGUGUCUUUAUGAUCUUCACAAAGAUCUGCAUGCCACCAUGGAGGUGCCUCCCGAGCCUUGGUUCCAAUGUGGUUGAUGGUGUUGGAACCCUUGGGCUCAAGGGUGGCGCGCUCUGUUAGCGUUGGGCAAGUUGCCCCGACAAGGCUCUUGCCGGGGCUGCGGAGGCCGCCCCGCAAAGGUCUUGCCGGGGGAGUCCACCCCGCCCUCUUGCUCUUUGUGUCUCUGGUCUUGGCGUUGUUUCGCCCGUCUUGUGCUUUCGGCUGGAGCGCUGCUCUGGUAUUUUUGUGCUUCUGCUCCCUCCCCUUGCCCUGCUAAGUGUGGCCGCAGGUGCGGCUCUGACUGCCUGUGCACAAGUAGAGGGGUAAAAAAGGAGAGCCCCUACUUUUGUACACUGACAGGAGCCCCCGGGCCUGGGCCACACAUAAGCGCAACGCGUUGUCGGGCUAGGCCCAGAACGGUGCGCGGGCAGGCGAGGCGGAUUUUUACCGCAGUAACUCCUUCGCCCGCUGCGCUUCCCCACGACCCGUGUUGAAUGCGCGACAUGGAGGGUCGUGCAUGACGUGGGGGUCAUGCGUGGGGCGGUUCCUGCCCUCAUGCGUCACAUCGUGGUAAAGAGGCGGCUCGCGCCUUCCUCAUAAAAAGAGGAAGACGCAGGGGCGCGGCUCAUUUACUGAGUGGACUCGGGUCGUGGCCUUCGAGGCGCCCGUGCCCUACGAUCACGGGGUGGAGAACGGUCGCCUCCCUCGGCCCCUCGAUUUCUGUUUGCUCGCCACGUGUCCCCCAUGCCUUGAAGAUGGUAGGUGGCGGGUGCGGGCCUUGAAUGACGAGGCGGGAAACCGGGCCGCUGCUGAUUGGAGCCGCGGGUCGGUCUCGAUUCCUCGCGCUCCUGAUGGCCGGAUUGGUUGAGUGGGGCGGCCGAGCCCCGACCCCGCCCCUUUAUAAGAAGGGGAGGGGGGACGGCACUCCUCAAUCUUUCACCAUCCGCCUCCUUCCACCUUGGCUUCUUUCUUUCUUCUGCUAUGGCGAGAGGGCGCGCUGGUGCUUCGACGGUGGCGACGAGGGUCUCCGCUCGACAGCGCGCCCCUCCUUCCCAAGAGCUCAUGGCGGCGGAGCCGGCCACGAGGGGCGCACCGGCCUCGCCUCCGACGGCGGUCCCUCCCCCAAUGGAGGGCCACGUCGGGACCAGCCUCGCGAGUUCUUCAUUAGGCUGCACCGGCCAGCACGCCGCCGUCUUCGUCUCCCUACUCCAUUCGCUCGGGAGAUGGAGCUCGACCCGCCACAGACUCUGAGAUUGCAUAUGAGGGGCUGCGCGAAUGGCGGCACGCGGGUUGAUGUCGAUUUUCCCGCCCCUCACAUCAUGUAUCUUCGUCGCGGAUGGAAGACCUUCGCUCGCAUCCACAGCCUGACGGCGGGGCUCGUUCUCUAUUUCAAAUUAAUGGAGAACAGCCUGCUCUCCGUCAAGGUCUUUGGAGACUUUGGAACUUGCCUAAAGUGCUGUGUGGAGAGCUCCUCCGAUGACGAAGACUCUUUCUCAAGCGGGAGUGACGAGGAGGACAACGACAGCGACGAUGAGGGUGCCGAGCGGGGGAACGCCGACUCCGACUGACCGCGCCGCCCCUCCCUUGGCCACGUGCCCUGCCGAGGGCCUUCCUCGUCAAGCUCUCCAUCGGCGCGUUCCCCAUCGCCCCCCUUUUGCCUUCACCUGCCGCACCUAGGAGGAAAAGGGCAAGAACGGGGAUCACGCGGCACUUAUCUUUUUUAGUUUGUAAGCCUACGGGCCUUAGUAGAAUUUAGACCUUGUAAUCCCCUCGCUCGUGUACUCAUUCCGUAUGAAUUGUACUUGUUUACAACGUAUGAAUGAAAAGAAAGGUGUUUGCCGGGUUUUGUUUGUGCGUGGGCGAGGGCCACACCGAGGAACGCGUCCUCGUUAUCUUAAGAUAAACAUUGUAUCCCGGCAAAAGGCCUUGCCGUCCUCCUGCUCUAUAGCUCGGCUACACUCAUGCCCUUGGCGGAGGUAGGGGCCGAGUAGGAUUAGGCCCUUCGCUCGCCCCCUUCCCAUCGCACUACAACCAAGUUCCGGCCCAAAGUAAGGUUUUCGGACACGGGACAAAGGGAGCAAGAUGGUAUGAGAGCGAGCAAAGUCUUAUACGUUCAAGUUUCAUACGGAGGCACAGAGUGGGGGAGAAAGACUUAUCUGAUGUCGCAGCCCCUGGCAACCUUGGCUUGCCGUGACUGGAUUCUCAAACCUGCAGCCCCUGGCAACCUUGGCUUGUCGGGGUCCGGGCGUCGGCCUGUUCUCUUUUCUCCCAAAAUAGCUCAGCAGAAAUGUCCAUGCACCCUGCCAACCAAACAAGGAUGGGAAGGAACAGAGAUAUGCAUACUCGACCUCUAUGCUAAGGGUUAGUCGCCGCCAAGAACUAUCAACCCUAACACAGAGAGAGACUCAACCUAGCAUGCAUGCUAAAACUUAGGGCGCCAGCGCUUCAUUUAUUUAUGCUCAGGGUCUGCGCCUGGCUUUGUACAAAGGGUUACAUGCCUUGCCGGCAAGGCUUGUACAAAAGGUGGUUUGCCGGGGAGCCCGGCAAUCGCGCCUUAUGGGUAAAACUUGCGAAGAUGUUCGAUGUUCCAGGAGUUGCUCACUAGAAUGCCAUCUUCGGUCUCCAGGCGGACUGCGCCGGGCCUGGUGACUCGUAUUACCCGAUAAGGGCCUUCCCACUUUGACGUCAACUUGUUGGAAUUCUUGGCCGACUGAACGUGCCGAAGAACAAGGUCGCCUUCCUCAAAGCCUCGGGCAUGAACCUUGCGGCUAUGGUAGCGGCGCAAGGCUUGCUGGUAGCGUGCUGCUCGCACAGCUGCCCGAAGACGAUCUUCCUCAAGGAGCGUUGCGUCAUCUUGCCGCAACGGCUCUUGCUCAAGCUCAUCAUAAGUGAGCACUCGAGGUGACCCGUACGUGAGUUCUGUGGGGAGAACUGCUUCUGUCCCGUAAACGAGGGAGAAAGGUGUCUGGCCGGUGGCUCGAUUUGGUGUCGUUCUGAGAACCGCUGGCAAUUCAUCAAUCCAGCAUCGUCCGCACCUGCGUAGCCUGUCAAAAGUCCUUGUCCGGAGGCCUCGCAACACUUCAGCAUUUGCCCUUUCAGCCUGGCCGUUGCUCCGUGGAUGUGCAACAGAAGCAAAACAGACCUUGCUGCCGAGGUCCUGGAUGUACUGCAUGAAGGCGUGGCUCGUGAACUGUGUACCGUUGUCGGUGAUGACUCUAUUUGGCACACCAAAACGGCAGACUAGCCCCUUGAAGAAUUUGACGGCUGAUUGUGUUGUCACCUUUCUCACUGCCUCCACCUCCGGCCACUUUGUGAACUUGUCGAUUGCAACGUACAAGUACUCAAAGCCCCCGACAGCACGGGGAAAGGGGCCCAGUAUGUCGAGCCCCCAGACCGAGAAUGGCCAGGAAAGAGGGAUUGUUUGGAGAGCUUGAGCUGGUUGAUGAAGUUUCUUUGAAUGGAACUGACACGCUUCACACUGGGUUACUAGUGCCGUUGCAUCUUGGAGGGCUGUGGACCAGAAGAAACCUUGCCGGAAUGCCUUGCCGGCAAGGGCCCUCGACCCUAUGUGGGAGCCACAUAUGCCUCCGUGUAUCUCUGCCAACAACUCCAGUCCUUCCUCCCGGGGAACGCUCUUCAAUUUCACACCGUUUGGUCUUUUUCUGUACAGAACGUCGUCGACGAACUGAUACGUGACAGACCGACGUGCUACUUUCUCUGCUUCUUCCUGCUCCUCAGGGAGUUCCCCUGUUUGGAGGAAUCAGACGGUAUGCCGUGCCCAUGCCGGAGCCUGCGGCUCGACGGCAAGGACCAAAGGCAUUUCCUCUAUCAUGCGAGCGGUUGUCUCUAUGGACAGGUGUAACACCCCGAGAAUCAUGCUACAGUAACUCUCUGUGAUUAAGCUAAUCAUGUUGCUAAACAGGGCUUGAUCACAUUGGAAUCACAUUUCUUUUCAAACUCCUAAUUCAAACUUCAAUUAAAUUUAAAGUGGAAAAUAAAAGUUUUCAAAAAUUUAAACAAAAAUGUUCGGGCCAUGCCAAAUAUUACAAGGGUAAUUAUACUAAAGAAAACAUAUUUUUACAAAAUGCCUGAAUAAAUUAAAUUGAAAUAAAACAGAAAAGAAAAUAAAUAAAUAAAAAGAAAAUACAAAAGAAAACAAAACAAACAAAGAAAAAAAGGAGACGGAGAAGCCCCCCCCACUGGACCCUGGCCCAACUGGGCCGACCCCAGGCCCAGCCGACCUGGCCCACCUCCCCGGGUCGCCCUCCCCUUCCCUGUUCCCCCGACCGGGGUCGGAACAGGGGCAGGUCCCCGUCGCACCCCCUCGCCGGCGACGGGGGAGGAUAAGGCCGCCCCGACGCCUCGGCCUCCGCCCAUCCCUCCCACUUGCCCCUCUCGCUCGCCUCUGCGCCUCUCCCUCUCCCCCCAGAUCCACGCCGCUCCCUCCUUCCCCACCGCCCGAGCGCGGUCGCCGACGUGUCGCCGUCGUUCCCGCGGCCACCGAGCCCCGUUCUCCUCCCCGACGUGUCCACGAGCUCCGCCGCGUCGAGCCCGUCCUCCCCGACCACCCGCUCGAGCCGGGACCCCCCUACAUCACCCCCAAUGCCAUCGCCUUCUUCCUCGGGUCGCCGCCGUCUUCUUCGACUCCGGCGACUGCUGCUGCUACUAAGCCUCUCACCGGCCUCCGUGUGCCGCGCGGUGAGCUCCUCUACCUCCUACCCUUCUCCGUUUGCUCUCGCGCGAACCUUAGCUAGCUCUCACGACGAGGCCGAACGCGUCGCCGCGGAGCUCGCCGCCGACGCGUCUCCGGUGACGUUUGGUCACGGGCCCGUACCCAUUAGACUCGCCGCACCACGUAGUUACUCCCCAGCCUCUCCGUUUGCUCGAUAGCACGCCGUAGCUCCGUUUUCGUCGAGCACCCGUGCACGCCGCCACCUCCGCCGCUCGCCGGCGCCGAUUCCGGCCAAGUCCGGCGAAGCUACGGCCACCACUGGAUGCGGCGCUGCGAGCUCGUUCGAAUGAGACUAGCCCUGCUCCUCCCCGAGCCCCGUAGGCGAAAUCCGGCGAGAUCCGAGACGCGCCGCCGCGUUUGGCGUCGCCGGCGUUGAGCCGCCGGCCGCGCUGAGCUGGCACACCUGGGGCCACCCCCUGGGUCACUGCCAGUGGGCCCUCUGGCCCCCUGUUGACCUGUUGACCAGUUGACCUGGUCAACUGGGCUGACUGGGCAGGCCCCAGCCACUGACGUGCGGGCCCCACCACUUAAUCCGAUAAUUAAAACAUUUUAAUAAUUAAAACUAAUUAGUUUAGAUAAUUAGACUAUGACAGGUGGGGUCCAGUAGUUAAUUAAUCUAAUUUUAGUUAAUUUAAUCUUCUGAUUAGUCCACUGUCUAUGACAGGUAGGACCCACCUGUCUGGUUUGACUGGUCAGCUGACCUGUUGACCUGCUGACGUCAGCAUUACCUCAUGCUGACGUCAUAAUUCAUUUUUUCUAAAUUCAAAUAAUUCCAGAAAUUCAAAUAAUCUUUGAAAAUUCAUAUCUUUUAAACCGUAACUCGGAUGGAAAUGUUUUCUACAUGAAAGUUGCUCAGAACGACGAGACGAAUCCGAAUACGCAAUCCGUUCGUCCACCACACCUCCCUAACCUAUCGAACUAGCAACCUUCCCCCUCCGGUCCGUCUGUCCGAAAACGCAAAACAUUGGGAAUACCUUCCCGGAUGUUCCCCCCCUUCGCCGGUACCACCUACUGUCGCGUUAGGACACACCUCGCACUGCUCAUUGUCAUGUCACGCAUCGUCAUGUUUAUGUUUGCAUUGUAUUUACUUUUUCUUCCCCCCUCUUCUCUUCGGUAGACUACGAGAUCGACACUGCUGCUGCCCAGUUCGACUACGGAGUUGACGACCCCUCCUACUUGCCAGAGCAACCAGGCAAGCCCCCCCCUUGAUCACCAGAUAUCGCCUAUUCUUCUCUAUACUGCUUGCAUUAGAGUAGUGUAGCAUGUUACUGCUUUCCGAUAUCCUAUCCUGAUGCAUAUCCUAUCCUUGCUACUACUGUUGUUACCUUUACCUGCAAUCCUACAUGCUUAGUAUAGGAUGCUAGUUUUCCAUCAGUGGCCCUACAUUCUUGUCCGUCUGCUGUGCUAUACUAUCGGGCCGUGAUCACCUGGGCGGUGAUCACGGGUAUAUACUUAUAUACUAUAUACAUGACACAUGUGAUGACUAAAGUCGGGUCGGCUCGUAGGAGUACCCGCGAGUGGAUCUUUGUGGCGGAGCGACAGGGCAGGUUGAGACCGCCUAGGUGAGAGGUGGGCCUGGCCCUGGUCGGCGUUCGCGGUUACUUAACACGCUUAACGAGAUCUUGGUAUUUGAUCUGAGUCUGGCCAUUUGGUCUAUACGCACUAACCAUCUACGUGGGAGUAGUUAUGGGUAUCCCGACGUCGUGGUAUCAGCCGAAGCUCUUUUGACGUCAGCAACUGAGUGGCGCGCGCCGCAUUGGAGCGUAAGCUCGCGCUUGUAUUAAGGUGGCUAGAUCUGCUUCCGGCCGCGUACGCAACGUGCAGGUGUGCAUAGGGCGAUGGGCCCAGACCCCUGCGCGCAUAGGUUUAGACCGGCGUGCUGACCUCUCUGUUGAGCCUAGGUGGGGCUGCGACGUGUUGAUCUUACGAGGCCGGACAUGACCCAGAAAAGUGUGUCCGGCCAAAUGGGAUCGAGCGUGUUGGGUUAUGUGGUGCACCCCUGCAUGGAAGUUUAUCUAUUCGAAUAGCCGUGUCCCUUGGUAAAAGGACGACCCGGAGUUGUACCUUGACCUUAUGACAACUAGAACUGGAUAUUGAAUAAAAUACACCCUUCCAAGUGCCAGAUACAACCCGGUGAUCGCUCUCUAACAGGGCGACGAGGAGGGGAUCGCCGAGUAGGAUUAUGUUAUGCGAUGCUACUUGGAGGACUUCAAUCUACUCUCUUCUACAUGCUGCAAGAUGGAGAUGGCCAGAAGCGUAGUCUUCGACAGGACUAGCUAUCCCCCUUUUAUUCUGGCAUUCUGCAGUUCAGUCCACUGAUAUGCCCCUUUACACAUAUACCCAUGCAUAUGUAGUGUAGCUCCUUGCUUGCGAGUACUUUGGAUGAGUACUCACGGUUGCUUCUCUCCCUCUUUUCCCCCUUUCCUUUCUAUCUGGUUGUCGCAACCAGAUGUUGGAGUCCAGGAGCCAGACGCCACCGUCGACGAUGACACCUACGACACUGGAGGUGCCUACUACUACGUGCAGGCCGCUGACGAUGACCAGGAGUAGUUAGGAGGAUCCCAGGCAGGAGGCCCGCACCUUGUUCGAUCGGUAUCCCAGUUUGUGCUAGCCUUCUUAAGGCAAACUUGUUUAACUUAUGUCUGUACUCAGAUAUUGUUGCUUCCGCUGACUCGUCUGUGAUCGAGCACUUGUAUUCGAGCCCUCGAGGCCCCUGGCUUGUAUUAUGAUGCUUGAAUGACUUAUUUAUGUUUUAGAGUUGUGUUGUGAUAUCUUCCCGUGAGUCCCUGAUCUUGAUCGUACACAUUUGCGUGCAUGAUUAGUGUACGGUCAAAUCGGGGGCGUCACAAGUUGGUAUCAGAGCCGACUGCCUGUAGGAAUCCCCCUUUCCACACUCCUUGGCCGCAGUCGAGUCUAGACAUUACAAGAACUUUUACUAACAUGGCUGUGUGUCUUACGGGCCCACGUCUCCAUUGGGUGGUACUAUGAUCUUUUACUCCUCGACCUUUACUCUGGGACUCUGAACUCUCUUCUACUCGGGUUAAACGAAUUUACUAACUCUAACACUAGGAUCCCGUGACCACAUUCACCCCAAAGUUGGAUAAGCCAUAGUUGUUUCUUAGAAUAGUAUUUUGAACAAUUCACACACUGUCAUUUGACUCCUUUGAAACGUCUUUGCUUUCAGAUGGAACCCUUGAGGCAGGUCGUUCGCCACACGACGGCCAUUGGUGCCUCGGGAUCACCUGCGGUGCUAGCUGAGAUGAUGGCCCAUUUGGGUUAUCGCUGGCACCCUGAGUACACCGUCUACGAGGAGUACCAGGACUUUAACCAGGAGCAGUACCGUGUCAUCGUCCACCUCUACUCUCGGGAGUACGACUCCACUACUGUGCUGCACACCGCACAUGGUGUUGGUGUGACCAUCGAUAUGGCUGUCCACGAUGCUGCCUAUGCUGCUCUGACGCGUCUUCGUGGAGAGUAUCGGGAGUUGGACACCUCCCCUUUCAGGCACAUUGCUAUCGCAUCUGAUGUUGGUGCGGAGGGAUACUAUACUGCUGCCUACUCCACUGUCACCCGAGAGCCCUUCUACCAUCAGAACCUGGUUCUGCAUGCUGAUGGGCUGGAUCGAGCUAACCGAGCUCUUCGCCACGAGAUGUACACCACCCGUCAGCACCUUUACCGUGCUCUGACGCUGUUGCACCCCUUUGUCCGAUCUGGACAGGUACCGCGUACUGCGAUCUACCCAGCCAGGACCGUGAUGCCCCACGGUGUCGGUUGGCCAGAGGUGGGAGGCUACUCCCUUGCACUUGGUCCUCUUCUGCCACCUGAGCGUCGGGCUCUACACCUGAGUAUCCGCGCCCCCCAGUCUGCUGACGUGGAGGGCUAUCCGUUGCCUCACUACCAGCUGUCGGGCUACGAUUACCUCCACAGUACCUCUUGGGACUGAUGUAGUCUUGCUUAGUUAGUAUUAGUUGCAGUCGCCGCGAGCCUGUGUGCCGCCUAUGUUGUUUUAGUCUAUGUACUGAACUCUAUGCAUGACCCCUUUUGUAAGUUAUGCCGACUACUAUGUAGUAGCUAUCGUGCUCCUUUCAUUAUGCAUGUUUCAUCAUGAAUGAUUCUUGUCUUUGCAAAUUUCUCAAUGCUGAACUACCCCUGUUAUAUAUUAGCAGGAUGGUUAGACCAGGUGGUCGUGGUCGUGGUGGCGAUGCCCCACCACCACCUGAGUACAUGGUUGGUAUGAUCCAACAGUUUGAACUGAAUCGCCAAUUCAUGGAAAAUAUGAUGGCUCAGUUUCCUCGCCCCAAUAUGAACCAGCAGCCAGCCCAAGUGACUCUUCAAGAUUUCAUACGCCUCAACCCAACCAUCUACCGCAGCUCAACUCAGCCUCUGGAUGCUGAUGACUGGCUCCGUGACAUCACCUAUGAGAUGAAGUCUGCUGAUGUAGCCCCUGCCAGCUAUGUCACCUUUGCUUCCUUCUUCUUGAAGGGACCCGCAGCUCAAUGGUGGGACAGCCACAGGCGUACUCUGCCAGCUGGAACAAUCAUCACAUGGCCAGACUUCCAAGCAGCUUUCCGUGCCCGCUUCAUUCCACAAGGAGUCAUGGACCGGAAGAAGCGUGAGUUCCGCAACCUCACCCAAGGCAACAAAACUGUUGAAGCUUAUCAGCGGGAGUUCCUGGACUUGUCUCGCUAUGCUGAAGAGGACAUUGCAACUGAUGCACGCAGACAGGAGAAGUUCCGUGAUGGCCUUCAAGCUGACAUCAAGCUCGCACUUCUAGUACAUGACUUUGCUGAUUUCGCCACCUUGGUGAACAAGGCCAUCAAUGUCGAAACUGGUCUGCAGGAAUACCAGAGCUCCCACAGACGCAACCGUGACACGGGCUCAUCUUCGGGCUCGCCCUCACAGAAGCGUAAGAUAUGGAUCCCGAACAGCAUGUACCGUCCAAAUGCAUCUGCCCCAAGGCAGACCUAUGCUGCACCUCGUGUGCCUCCACCACCAUCUAGGCAGUCAAGACUUCCAGCUCCACCAUCCCAAGCUCCUGUUCCCACUCCCAAUAAUGGUCUGUGCUACAAGUGUGGACAACCAGGUCACCGUGCCAGGGACUGCAAUCAGAAUCAGAAUCAACUUGCCCUUCCAGCAACGGGCCGUGGUAACAACCAGCCCCGCAACAACAAUGCUAAGUCUUAUGGUCGUGCUCAUGCCAACCACGUUGAUCUCAACGAAGCUCAAGACCAGCCUGCUACUGUGAUGGGUACACUCCUCGUAAAUUCAGUACCAGCAUCCGUUUUAUUUGAUACAGGUGCAUCGCAUUCAUUCAUGUCAGAAGAUUUUGCAUACAAGCACGACGUUAAAUGUGAGGAGAUGAACACCUCUGUAUUGGUCAAAACCCCCGUGGGACAGUGUCAAACCUCCCUGGUUGGCAUCGAUGUCCCCGUGGAAAUCGAAGGGCUGGAAUUCUAUGCCUCCCCCAUUAUCCUGAAGUCGUCUAACAUCGACCUCAUUUUGGGUAUGGAUUGGUUGAAAGCGCAUACUGCUUCUAUAGUUUGCGCCACUAAGACCGUCCAUCUACUUCACCCUUCAGAUGAAAUAGUUGCUUACCAAGCUCAUCUGGUGCAAAAUGCCGAGGCCAGGCUCUAUGCAUUGAAUGCAUUGAACGCUGCACCACUCGAGGGCAUUGAAAACAUUCCCGUCGUGCGUGAAUUCCUCGACGUCUUCCCUGAAGAACUUCCAGGGAUUCCCCCUGCUAGAGCUGUCGAAUUCAUCAUCGACUUGAAACCAGGCACCACUCCUAUAGCCAAGCGACCCUACAAAAUGCCGCCGCAUGAACUCCUUGAGCUUAAGGAGGAAAUCGACAAAUCUCUUCGCAAAGGAUUCAUUCGCCCAAGUUGCUCUCCUUGGGGAGCACCUUCUCUCUUUGUCAAGAAGAAGGAUGGGACAAACUGGUUAGUUCAAGACUACCGUCCUAUAAACCAAGCUACCAUUCAGAAUAAAUACCCUCUUCCUCGGAUCAAUGAUCUAUAUGAUCAACUGGCGGGUUCGUCAGUGUUCUCUAAGCUCGACUUGAGGUUGGGUUACCACCAGAUCAGUGUUCGCGAAGAGGAUAUCCCAAAGACCGCCUUCGUGACUCGCUAUGGUUCAUACGAGUACACCGUCAUGUCUUUCGGUUUAACCAAUGCUCCAGCCACCUUCUCUCGUUUGAUGAACUAUAUAUUCAUGGAUUACCUCGACAAGUUCGUUGUGGUUUAUCUGGAUGAUAUCCUGGUAUUUUCCAAGAGCGAAGAAGAACAUGCUGAACAUCUUCGACUUGUGCUGGAAAAGCUACGAGAGCAUCAACUAUAUGCCAAGUUCUCCAAAUGUGAAUUCUGGCUACCCGAAGUAACCUAUCUCGGGCAUGUCAUCUCUAAGGAUGGUAUUGCCGUCAACCCUGAACGAGUUCAGGCUAUUCUUGAUUGGACUCCUCCCAAGAACGUUAAGCAAGUCAGAAGUUUUCUCGGUCUCGCCAGCUAUUGCCGUCGAUUCGUCAAGAACUUCUCCAAGAUCGCCAGGCCUCUGACUAACCUGUUGCAUAAGGGCGUCAAGUUCCAAUGGACAGACAAAUGUCAGGAAAGUUUCCAGGCACUCAAAGACAAGUUGACUUCUGCUCCAGUUCUAGCUCCACCUGAUACUAAGAAGGACUUUGUCAUUUACUGCGACGCUUCCCGUCAAGGGUUAGGCUGUGUCCUAAUGCAAGAUCGCAAAGUGAUUGCUUAUGCCUCUCGGCAAUUGCGCCCUCACGAAGAGAACUACCCAGUUCACGACCUCGAACUUGCUGCUGUCAUUCAUGCGCUGAAGCAGUGGCGACAUUACCUUCUCGGUAAUCGUUGCGAGAUCUUCACUGACCACCAAAGUCUGAAGUAUCUGUUUACUCAGCCAGAUCUGAACCUCCGUCAACAGAGAUGGAUGGAGCUUGUUGCAGACUUUGACUUGGGUAUUUCCUAUACUCCAGGCAAGGCUAAUGUAAUGGCUGAUGCCUUGAGCCGCAAGUCUUACUGCAACCACCUCCAGGUUCAUAAAGUUCAGCCCUCGCUUGUUGAAGAAUUCAGGAAGCUGAACCUCCAUAUUGUCCCUCCGGGUGCACUCGCUCCCCCUCCUAAGGAGUUUGGCAAGAUGAACCUCCACGUUGUUACCCAGGGUUCCCUCAAUACCCUAGUUGCUAAACCAGAUCUCGAGGACAGCAUCAAAAGGCUACAGAAGUAUGACUCUGAAGCCCACAAGAUUAAGCGCUACCUCGCAGAAGGAAAGCCCUCAUUCUUCACCAUUGCUGAAGAUGGCACCUUAUACUUCAAGGGCCGCCUAGUGGUGCCAUGUGCAGAGAAAAACCUGGAUAUGACACAGGAAGUUAUGAAAGAAGCUCAUGAUACGCCUCUAUGUAUCCAUCCUGGUAGUACAAAGAUGUACCAAGACAUCCGUCAGAGAUUCUGGUGGUCUAAUAUGAAGCAAGUCAUUGCUCGUUAUGUUGCUGAGUGUGACGUUUGCCGUCGUAUCAAAGCAGAACAUCAAAGGCCUGCUGGAACUCUGCAACCUAUCUCUAUUCCUGAAUGGAAAUGGGACCAUGUUGAGAUGGACUUCGUCACUGGAUUUCCCAAGUCACAGAAAGGUAAUGAUGCUAUUCUUGUCGUCAUUGACCGGCUUUCCAAAGUUGCACAUUUCCUGGCGGUCAAGGAAACGAUCACUGCUAGUCAACUGGCAACGCUCUAUAUGUCCAGGAUUGUUUCACUCCACGGUAUUCCAUUGGUUAUCAGUUCAGACCGUGGCAGCUUAUUCACUUCAAGAUUCUGGGCAAGUUUCCAAGAAGCUAUGGGAACUCAUCUGUCAUUCAGUACUGCGUUUCAUCCUCAAUCGCAAGGACAAGUUGAACGCGUCAACCAAGUUCUCGAAGACAUGCUUCGAGCUUGUGUUAUUUCCUUCGGCAAGAAAUGGGAGGAAUCUCUCCCGUAUGCUGAGUUCUCUUAUAAUAAUAGCUAUCAAGCUAGUCUGAAGAUGGCCCCCUUCGAAGUGUUAUAUGGACAAAAGUGCCGAACCCCUCUGAACUGGUCAGAAACUGGGGAACGUCCACUCUUCGGUCCGGAUAUUAUCCAAGAUGCCGAAGAACAAGUCCACAUUAUUCGCGAGAAUCUCAAGACUGCUCAGUCACGUCAGAAGAGUCAGUAUGACCGUCAUCAUAAAGACAUGGUCUAUCAACCUGGCGAAAAGGCUUAUCUUCGAGUCACACCUAUGAAGGGUGCUCACCGCUUCGGGAUCAAGGGCAAACUAGCUCCUCGCUAUAUUGGCCCAUUCACUAUUCUCGAAAGGCGUGGAAAAGUGGCAUACCAACUGGAGCUACCGCCGAACCUUUCUCAGGUUCACGAUGUGUUCCAUGUGUCACAGCUCCGCCGUUGCUUCAAGGACCCAAUCCGAGCUGUGGAUCAUGAAGUGCUCGAAUUGCAGCAAGACCUCUCCUAUAAGGAGCAUCCGGUCCGCAUUCUCGACCAAGCUGAACGCCGCACACGUCAGAAGGCGAUCAAGUUUCUCAAAGUCCAGUGGUCGCACCAUUCUGAAGAUGAGGCCACUUGGGAACGAGAGGAUUGUCUGCGCGAAGAAUACCCCGCACUGUUUCCUUCUACCUCCUAAAUCUCGGGACGAGAUUUCUUGUAGUGGAGGAGAUUUGUAACACCCCGAGAAUCAUGCUACAGUAACUCUCUAUGAUUAAGCUAAUCAUGUUGCUAAACAGGGCUUGAUCACAUUGGAAUCACAUUUCUUUUCAAACUCCUAAUUCAAACUUCAAUUAAAUUUAAAGUGGAAAAUAAAAGUUUUCAAAACUUUAAACAAAAAUGUUCGGGCCAUGCCAAAUAUUACAAGGGUAAUUAUAUUAAAGAAAACAUAUUUUUAUAAAAUGCCUAAAUAAAUUAAAUUGAAAUAAAACAGAAAAGAAAAUAAAUAAAUAAAAAGAAAAUACAAAAGAAAAUAGAACAAACAAAAAAAAAGGAGAAGGAGAAGCCCCCCCCACUGGACCCUGGCCCAACUGGGCCGACCCCAGGCCCAGCCGGCCUGGCCCACCUCCCCGGGUCGCCCUCCCCUUCCCUGUUCCCCCGACCGGGGUCGGAACAGGGGCAGGUCCCCGCCGCACCUCCUCGCCGGCGACGGGGGAGGAUAAGGCCGCCCCGACGCCUCGGCCUCCGCCCAUCCCUCCCACUUGCCCCUCUCGCUCGCCUCUGCGCCUCUCCCUCUCCCCUCCAGAUCCACGCCGCUCCCUCCUUCCCCACCGCCCGAGCGCGGUCGCCGACGUGCCGCCGUCGUUCCCGCGGCCACCGAGCCCCGUUCUCCUCCCCGACGUGUCCACGAGCUCCGCCGCGUCGAGCCCGUCCUCCCCGACCACCUGCUCGAGCCGGGACCCCUACUACAUCACCCCCAACGCCGUCGCCUUCUUCCUCGGGUCGCCGCCGUCUUCUUCGACUCCGGCGACUGCUGCUGCUACUAAGCCUCUCACCGGCCUCCCUGUGCCGCGCGGUGAGCUCCUCUACCUCCUACCCUUCUCCGUUUGCUCUCGCGCGAACCUUAGCUAGCUCUCACGACGAGGCCGAACGCGUCGCCGCGGAGCUCGCCGCCGACGCGUCUCCGGUGACGUUUUGGUCACGGGCCCGUACCCAUUAGACUCGCCGCACCACGUAGUUACUCCCCAGCCUCUCCGUUUGCUCGAUAGCACGCCGUAGCUCCGUUUUCGUCGAGCACCCGUGCACGCCGCCACCUCCGCCGCUCGCCGGCGCCGAUUCCGGCCAAGUCCGGCAAAGCUACGGCCACCACUGGAUGCGGCGCUGCGAGCUCGUUCGAAUGAGACUAGCUCCGCUCCUCCCCGAGCCCCGUAGGCGAAAUCCGGCGAGAUCCGAGCCGCGCCGCCGCGUUUGGCGUCGCCGGCGUUGAGCCGCCGGCCGCGCUGAGCUGGCACACCUGGGGCCACCCCCUGGGUCACUGCUAGUGGGCCCUCUGGCCCCCUGUUAACCUGUUGACCAGGUGACCUGGUCAACUGGGCUGACUGGGCAGGCCCCAGCCACUGACGUGCGGGCCCCACCACUUAAUCUGAUAAUUAAAACAUUUUAAUAAUUAAAACUAAUUAGUUUAGAUAAUUAGACUAUGACAGGUGGGGUCCAGUAGUUAAUUAAUCUAAUUUUAGUUAAUUUAAUCUUCUGAUUAGUCCACUGUCUAUGACAGGUAGGACCCACCUGUCUGGUUUGACUGGUCAGCCGACCUGUUGACCUGCUGACGUCAGCAUUACCUCAUGCUGACGUCAUAAUUCAUUUUUGCUAAAUUCAAAUAAUUCCAGAAAUUCAAAUAAUCUUUGAAAAUUCAUAUCUUUUAAACCGUAACUCGGAUGAAAAUGUUUUCUACAUGAAAGUUGCUCAGAACGACGAGACGAAUCCGAAUACGCAAUUCGUUCGUCCACCACACCUCCCUAACCUAUCGAACUAGCAACCUUCCCCCUCUGGUCCGUUUGUCCGAAAACGCAAAACAUUGGGAAUACCUUCCCGGAUGUUCCCCCCCUUCGCCGGUACCACCUACUGUCGCGUUAGGACACACCUCGCACUGCUCAUUGUCAUGUCACGCAUCGUCAUGUUUAUGUUUGCAUUGUAUUUACUGUUUCUUCCCCCUCUUCUCUCCGGUAGACUACGAGACCGACAUUGCUGCUGCCCAGUUCGACUACGGAGUUGACGACCCCUCCUACUUGCCAGAGCAACCAGGCAAGCCCCCCCUUGAUCACCAGAUAUCGCCUAUUCUUCUCUAUACUGCUUGCAUUAGAGUAGUGUAGCAUGUUACUGCUUUCCGAUAUCCUAUCCUGAUGCAUAGCCUAUCCUUGCUACUACUGUUGUUACCUUUACCUGCAAUCCUACAUGCUUAGUAUAGGAUGCUAGUUUUCCAUCAGUGGCCCUACAUUCUUGUCCGUCUGCUGUGCUAUACUAUCGGGCCGUGAUCACCUGGGCGGUGAUCACGGGUAUAUACUUAUAUACUAUAUACAUGACACAUGUGAUGACUAAAGUCGGGUCGGCUCGUAGGAGUACCCGCGAGUGGAUCUUUGUGGCGGAGCGACAGGGCAGGUUGAGACCGCCUAGGUGAGAGGUGGGCCUGGCCCUGGUCGGCGUUCGCGGUUACUUAACACGCUUAACGAGAUCUUGGUAUUUGAUCUGAGUCUGGCCAUUUGGUCUAUACGCACUAACCAUCUACGUGGGAGUAGUUAUGGGUAUCCCGACGUCGUGGUAUCAGCCGAAGCUCUUUUGACGUCAGCAACUGAGUGGCGUGCGCCGCAUUGGAGCGUAAGCUCGCGCUUGUAUUAAGGGGGCUAGAUCUGCUUCCAGCCGCGUACGCAACGUGCAGGUGUGCAUAGGGCGAUGGGCCCAGACCCCUGCGCGCAUAGGUUUAGACCGGCGUGCUGACCUCUCUGUUGAGCCUAGGUGGGGCUGCGACGUGUUGAUCUUACGAGGCCGGGCAUGACCCAGAAAAGUGUGUCCGGCCAAAUGGGAUCGAGCGUGUUGGGUUAUGUGGUGCACCCCUGCAUGGAAGUUUAUCUAUUCGAAUAGCCGUGUCCCUUGGUAAAAGGACGACCAGGAGUUGUACCUUGACCUUAUGACAACUAGAACUGGAUACUGAAUAAAAUACACCCUUCCAAGUGCCAGAUACAACCCGGUGAUCGCUCUCUAACAGGGCGACGAGGAGGGGAUCGCCGGGUAGGAUUAUGUUAUGCGAUGCUACUUGGAGGACUUCAAUCUACUCUCUUCUACAUGCUGCAAGAUGGAGAUGGCCAGAAGCGUAGUCUUCGACAGGACUAGCUAUCCCCCUUUUAUUCUGGCAUUCUGCAGUUCAGUCCACUGAUAUGCCCCUUUACACAUAUACCCAUGCAUAUGUAGUGUAGCUCCUUGCUUGCGAGUACUUUGGAUGAGUACUCACGGUUGCUUCUCUCCCUCUUUUCCCCCUUUCCUUUCUAUCUGGUUGUCGCAACCAGAUGUUGGAGUCCAGGAGCCAGACGCCACCGUCGACGACGACACCUACGACACUGGAGGUGCCUACUACUACGUGCAGGCCGCUGACGACGACCAGGAGUAGUUAGGAGGAUCCCAAGCAGGAGGCCUGCGCCUCGUUCGAUCGGUAUCCCAGUUUGUGCUAGCCUUCUUAAGGCAAACUUGUUUAACUUAUGUCUGUACUCAGAUAUUGUUGCUUCCGCUGACUCGUCUGUGAUCGAGCACUUGUAUUCGAGACCUCGAGGCCCCUGGCUUGUAUUAUGAUGCUUGUAUGACUUAUUUAUGUUUUAGAGUUGUGUUGUGAUAUCUUCACGUGAGUCCCUGAUCUUGAUCGUACACAUUUGCGUGCAUGAUUAGUGUACGGUCAAAUCGGGGGCGUCACAACAGGGCUUGACGCCCUGCCGGAGUCUGUUGCCCCAUGGCAGGCUCGGUGUCCACGGCAACAUCCUUGCCGGCGGCUCCUGGGAGCUCGGCGGGAAAGUACUUGCUGGGGCCUGAUUUCGUGCGCUUGUUCUGCUCUGUCGAUGGUUCAACGGAUGGUUGAGUUAACCAAAGCACAAAAGUACCUGGUUCCACAUGUAGUUUGAGGGCAGCGCGUUUUGAUAGGUAGUCGGCGAUGUCGUUCUCCACUCGGGGAACAUGCUCGCUUGUAUACCGUCAAAACGCUCCUCCAGCUUCCUCACCUCACCUACGUACGCCUCCAUCUACGGGCUUUGGUAGUCUUUGUUAACUUGCUUGACGACAAGCUGUGAAUCACCCCUGACGGUGAGCUUCUUGAUUCCGAGGUUUGCCGCGAUCCUGAGACCGGCAAGCAACCCCUCGUAUUCAGCAGUAUUGUUCGUUGACAUCUCUCUGGGAAAGUGCAUCUGGACUACAUAUUUGAGGUGCUCUCCGGUGGGUGCAACGAGUAGCACACCAGCACCGACGCCUUGCAGCGAGAAAGCCCCGUCAAAGUACAUAAUCCAGUUGCGACUUGUUUCCUUGCCGGGGAGGGCGGUCUCCUGAAUCUCCUUGUCGGGCGUUGAGGUCCAUUCCGCAAUGAACUCCGCCAAGACUCUACUCUGAAUUAUCGAAGUGCUUCCAAACUUCAAGCCAAAGCUCGACAGUUCCAAAGCCCAUUCCACCAUCCUCCCGGUUGCGUCUGGGUUAUGCAAUAUCCGUUGCAACGGGAGGCGGGUGACGACGGUGAUUUCGUGUGCUUGGAAGUAAUGACGCAGCUUCCUCGAGGCCAUAAGGAGGCUGAAGAGCAAUUUCUGCACACCGGAGUACAUUGACCUAGCCCCCUGCAAGAAGGAGCUGACAAAGUAAACCGGGUGCUGCAUCAUCUUCUUCUUCUGCACUAUCUCAUUUGGUUGCGUCGCUUCUUCUUCGCCAGCGCCAGACUCUGCCGGGGGCCUUGCCUUACCAGCACCAGGCCCUGCCGAGGGGAACUCUGGUUUGCCAUCCGCCAGCCCUGCCAUUGCCACUGCUCUUCGUCAACCUCCUUCUGUGCCACUAGCGCGGCGCUGAGCACUUGGUUCGUUGCCGCUAAAUAUAGCAGCAACGGCUCUUGUGGUUUAGGCGCAGUAUUGACGGGGAGGAGAGGUACUUCUUCAAAUCCUGUAGGGCCGCCUCAGCCUCUGGGGUCCAUUCCACUGGGCCCGCCUUCUUCAAGAUUUCGAAAAAGGGGAGGGCACGCUCAGCAGACUUGGAGAUGAACCUCCUCAUGGCGGCAACGUAGCCAGUGAGCCGACGCACAUCCUUGAUCUGCCUAGGUGCCUCAAUUUGCUCAAUGGCCUAGAUCUUGUCUGGAUUCGCCUCGAUCCCACGCUGUGACACAAAGAACCCGAGAAGUUUUCCGGACGGAACGCCGAAGACACACUUCUCAAGGUUCAGCUUGAGGUUGAUCUUGCGCAAAUUUGCAAACGUCUCUUCUAAAUCUUGUACAAGUGUCGCCUUGUCCUUGGUUUUGACCACUAUGUCAUCCAUAUAAGCUUCCAUAUUUCUAUGUAGCUGGGGCUCAAAACCAAUUUGGACUGCUCUUGCAAACGUCGAGCCAGCACUCUUCAACCCGAAAGGCAUUCGUAAGAAACAAUAUGUACCACAUGGGGUGAUGAAUGCUGUCUUCUCUUCAUCUUCUCUCAUCAUGAAGAUCUGGUGGUAUCCUGAGUAGGCGUCAAGGAAUGAUAACAAGUCGCACCCGGACAUGGAGUUAACAAUCUGGUCAAUGCGCGGCAACGGGAAGGGAUCCUUUGGACAAGCCUUAUUGAUAUCUGUGUAAUCAAUACACAGCCUCCACUUCCCAUUUGCCUUGCGCACCACCACCGGAUUAGCCAACCACAUCGGAUGGAGCACUCCCCUUACCAAGCCUACUGCUUCUAACUUCCUGAUCUCCUCCGUGAUGAACUCCUGCCGUUCCAAAGCCUGCUUCCUGACCUUUUGCUUGACGGGUCGCGCAUGAGGACAAACAACAAGAUGGUGCUCAAUCACCUCCCUGGGAACGUCGGGGAUGUCGGAUGCUUGCCAUGUAAACACAUCGACAUUCGCCCGCAGGAAGGUGACGAGCGCGCCUUCCUAUUUGCUGUCAAGGGAGGAGCUUAUGGUGAAAGCCCCUCCCGUGCCAUCCUCCUUGACGGACACCUUCUUGGUCUCUGGUGGUGCAGCUCUGGAUUUCUUGCUCUUGCCGGUGGAGCUCUUUGGCAAGUCCUCGACGGGAGCACAGCACUCCGAAGAGGUGCGCUUGCCGGAGUGGGUGCGAGAGGCCUUGUCGGUCUUCUCCCCCCCGGGGCUUCGGCGGCAGGGGCAAGUGCCUUGGCGACAGCCGCCGCAACUGCCUCCCGGUAGAGUUGGUCAGCGCAAAUCAGCGCAUCCUUCUUGUUGGAGGGGACGGUGAUGAUGGUCAUCGGCCCAGGCAUCUUCAGCAUGUUGUAGGCGUAAUGCGACGCCGCCAUGAACUUGGCUAGUGCUGGGCGGCCGAGGAUCCCGUUGUAGGGCAAGGGGAUCUUGACUACAUCAAAAACAAUCCUCUCAAUCCUGUAGUUCAACUCGCCUCCAAACGUCACGGGCAGAGUGACCUUUCCCUUCGGCUGGCUCCUUCCCGGGUUGACCCCUUGAAAUGUGCCCGUCUCUUCGAGGUCUCCGCCAGGAAUCUGCAGCCUUUUGAUCACAACAGGCGAGUUCAAGUUCAGACCAGCCCCCCCGUCAACUAGCAUCUUUGUCACCUUGAGGUUGCGUAUUGUUGGCGAAACCAACAACGGCAAGCACCCGACCGCAGUCGUGCGAUCAGGGUGGUCCUCGGCGUAAAAAAUGAUAGGCAUGCUGGACCACUUCAGUGGCUUUUGAGCAUCGAGUGAUGGUUCCGCUGCUGUGAUCUCACACGCCCACUACUUGAGCUGGCGGUGAGAAGUGUGCAGCGAGGCGCCACCGUCGACGCACAUGGCCUCCGUAGCUUUCUGGAACUCAUGCUCGCCGGACUCGUCGUCCUCGUCAUGACCGUCGUCUUCCUGCUUCUUGUCGCGGCCCUGAGUGGGCCUCUCUUGCUGGUUAUCCUUGCCGCGGCGACCCCCUUGGCCGCCACGCUUCUUGCCGGAUCCUUCGACACCAUCCUGACCCUUCUCCUUGUCCCGCCUCUCAUACUCAGCUUUUUGCUUCUCGGCAAUCAACUCAACUUGUCGGCAGUUCUGGAGGUCGUGGCCCUUGGUGCGGUGGAUCUUGCAGUAUUGCUUGUCGGAGCCUCCUGGCUUGUCGGCAGCCACCAAGGCCCGACAAGCGGCACACCCGGCAAUUUCCUUGACGGGGUCGUCUGCCUUGGCCUUCUUGGCAGCGCCGGUGUCCUCGGAUCCCUCGACGGCAAUCACGGUCUUGCCCUUGCGCUUCCUGUUGCGGCGCCGACCCUUCUUCGUCGGGGUGGCUGCGUCUUUGUCUGUCGAGUCGGUUUCCUCACCGGCGUCCUCGCCGGGGUAGUUCCUCCCCUCUUCAGCUCGAGCGCACCUAUCGGCCAGAACAUAAAGUUCGGCCACAUCUUUGAACUUGUUCAUCACCAACUCUUCAUGCAUCUUGCGGUUGCGCACAUUCUGAUGGAACACGCUGAUCACGGCGGCGGGAUGAACAUCUGGGAUGUUGUACUACACCCGGCUGAACCUCUGUAUGUACUUGCGCAGGUUUUCACCUUCCUUCUGGGGGAUGAUAUGCAAAUCGCUCGCCUGGCCAUGAGCUUGGUGGCCUCUAGUGAAGGCGCCAACGAACUCAUGACACAAAUCCGACCAAGAAGAAAUGGAAUCCGCCGGCAAGUGCAUCAACCAUGACAUGACAUUGGGUUUAAGUGCCAACGGGAAGUAAUUGGCAAGCACCUUAUCGUCGCGAGCUCCAGCAGCUUGCAUGACGAUGGUGUAGAUGCUGAGGAACUCCGAUGGAUGGGUCUUGCCGUUGUACUUCUCGCCGACAUCGGGCUUGAACGUGCGGUGGGAGGGCCAUUGGAACUGCCGCAGCUCACGGGUAAAGGCUGGGCAACCCACCUCGUAGGGUAGGUCGCCAGAGCCUCCUAGUGUUGGGUGGUCCAUAGUGGCCCCCCCGCCUAUCUGACUGGUGGCGUGCAUCGCGCUGGCGCUCGAUGGUGGUUCGAGCGUCUUCAUGGGCUCGCUCCCGAAGAACUUGACGCUGAUCGCGGUGGGUCCGUGGGUCAGACGACGCUAUGGAAAUGUUAUCACAAGCGUCAUCACGACGGAUCGACACCCGCGGUGGCUGGCGUGGAGGAGGAGAGUGCACCGUGGCCGCAACACCUCCGAUCCUUCCACCACUGGCAUGCGGUGGCCCGACGGAGCGCCGGCCUGAGGGCCCCGCCGGUCGUGGCUCAUCUUUGUUGGCAACACCGACGAGGCUUCGGAUGGUGGCUCUCCACUCGUCGAGCUUUUCCGUGGCAGGAGGAAAGUCGAGGAGCAACUGCGCGCGCCAAAGCUUCUACUGGCGUGGGCGGCGGCGAAAGCUACGUGGACCGUGACGCGCUCCGACUUCUAACCAUGUUGGAAGGAGCUCUAUCACGGCCUGGCGGCUGUGCGCCAUUUUCGCCAGCGUCUCGGCGUGCAUGCUGGCCUUCUACGUCCCGCGAAUGACGCACAUGACUCUUCCCACGGCGGCGCCCAGGGUCACCAGCGUGGUGACGCUGCUCGUCGCGCACAACCUGGGAAGAGCGUGUCGUGGGCGCCGGUGUAGGCGUCUUGGAAGUCGCUGCGCCGCCCGUGGGUGGCACGAUGCCGCCCCUGGAGGGCCCCGCGCCGCCUGCGGGGCCCCGGCUCCGUCUUUGGAUUUGGUGGCGUGCGGCUCGUCGUCUCGCGCACGAACGACGCCACUCGCCAGGCUUUGACUGCCAGAGCGAUGUGGGUGUUCGCGGGCCGCGCCUCGGCUUCCGUCCGCGACCGCCCCACCACUCGCCCGCACUGAUACGGGCCGUUCGGCCCCCGAUGAACCGAUCGCUGUGAUCGUCUUCUUCUUGGGAGCCAUGGCGAUGAAGAACUGCUAAACUAACUGCUAGACCGGAUUUUCACAACUGCGCCCCCCUACCUGGCGUGCCAAAGAUGUCGGUGGAAACGACACCUAUGGGAUCACUGGGAUCCCUUCUACGGUUGGCGGGCGCGGGGUUGUGCAAAGAGCGGGUCUGGUAGUCAGCACAAGGAUCGUUUACCCAGGUCCGGGCCGCGAAGAUGCGUAAUACCCUAGUCCUGCUUUGAUGUAUAUUUGAGUGUUCUUGAGCUCUCGAACUAGCUACGGGGCGUGCGUAGUCCAAAAUAUCCGAAUCCUCCUCCAGUACGCCUCGGGCCUCCUUUUAUAGACGAAAGGGGUUGCCACAGUGGCACACAGGAGGUCGAAAGGUAUAUAGUGUACAAGCUUAUCGCCUGUCAUUACGGGACAAGGUGCAUUAAAUUCGCCCCUUAGGUGUCCCGUUGCUUUAUUGGGGACGACAACGAGGCCCAUCCCGUCCGUCGCCGCCCCGCCUUGCUCCGACACGCAUCCAGGCCAACGAUGCAUGCGGCGCCAUGUAGGCUGGCAGGCUUCUGAGAUGGCGUGGUGGUAGGGUCUUCACGAAGAUCUGCAUGCCACCACGCAGGUGCUUGCUGAGUUGGCCUGGAAGCCGCACGUUGCCACGUAGGUGCCUGCCCAGCUGGUUGGGCUGACAGCUGUAUGGGAACGAUGGUGGAGUCUUGGCAGACGUGGGUCUGGCUGUGGCCCCGCAGGUGUCCUCGGAAAGAGCCUUGCCGAGGCCUCGGCAAGGGUCUUGUCGUGGCAUCGCGGUCGUCCCCAGCAAGGAUCUUGCCGGAGGUCUCGUGGAUUUCCUCGGCGAGGAUCUCGUGAGGAUCGUCGUCUUCUGGUCCUCAUCUGAUCUCGUGUCUUUAUGAUCUUCACAAAGAUCUGCAUGCCACCAUGGAGGUGCCUCCCGAGCCUUGGUUCCAAUGUGGUUGAUGGUGUUGGAACCCUUGGGCUCAAGGGUGGCGCGCUCUGCUGGCAUUGGGCAAGUUGCCCCGGCAAGGCUCUUGCCGGGGCUGCGUAGGCCGCCCCGGCAAAGGUCUUGCCGGGGGAUUCCACCCCACCCUCUUGCUCUUUGUGUCUCUGGUCUUGGCGUUGUUUCGCCCGUCUUGUGCUUUCGGCUGGAGCGCUGCUUUGGUAUUUUUGUGCUUCUGCUCCCUCCCCUUGCCCUGCUAAGUGUGGCCGCAGGUGUGGCUCUGACUGCCCGUGCACAAGUAGAGGGGUAAAAAAGGAGAGCCCCUACUUUUGUACACCGACAUACAGGAAUAGGAAAAACGUAGGAUUGCGAUGUAUGUUCUCUGAAAACGUAUAGGAUAAGGAAACCACAGGAAUUAGAAUUGAAUCAAAGAGGGUUUGAUGUCGCAACAAAGAAGUUUGAUUGAACUGAUUUUUUUCUCUGAAAUAGUGGGCAACGCAAGGAAAAAUUCCUAAGGAUCUAAAUCCUCCAACACUUCAAUUGAAUUCGUUUGAAUCAAAUUAGCCCUUCGCAUGUUGUCUUUGGAGCAAAUAAGUUGCAUAGGGCCAAAAAUAUAAUGGUCCAAGUUUUUUUUGAACACAGUACAGACGCAAGCGCUCAUACACACACGCAUACACUCACCCCCUAUGGACACACACACGCGCACACCCUACCCCUAUGAGCACCUCCGAAAGACUGAGCCGGCAUAUCAUCUUGAAAUUUAUGAAGUCGCCGUAGGCACCUCGUCGUCGACGGGAACGUCUCCUCCCACUGAAUGCGCAUAGUCGGAAAUCCUAAAAUAAAUGCGAGCACCAAGACUUGAAGCCUGGUGGGCUAGGGAUAUCACAGUCUCUCUAACCAUCCAACCACAGGUUGGUUCGCUAUAAUGAUCCAAGUUUUUUGACGGGAAAGCUUACUUUAUUAAUCAAAGGACGGAUAUAUCGUCUGCCAGCAGACUCACAAUGAAAUCAGGCGGGGCAUCAAUCCAACGAGAUGGAUUAUUAGCACAUCCCCAUCUAGCCAGCUCAUGAGCUACAUAAUUUGACUCUCUAAUACAAUGCUCAAUAGCAAACUUUCCGAAAUCUACUAGAUAAUUACGACAUUCAUCAAGAACCGGCGCUGCCACCAUAGAAUAACCUUCAUUGAAUCUAAGUGCAUCGACCACCGUGAUAUUAUCCGAUCUGACCACCAAGUUAUUGCAUGCCGUAUCUCUUGCUAGCUUCAGUCCUUCAAGUAGAGCUGCCGCUUAUGCCGUGAACACAUCAGCUACAUGUUCUAAUCUCGCCGUGGACGCCGACAUGAAAGAUCCCCGGUGAUCACGGUUGACAGCACCACAAGACCCAGCAUAAUCGCCCUUUGUGAAUGAAGCAUCGACAUUAAGGACAAGUUAUCCUGCUAGGAACGUCGGCCACCUGUUGAUCUUGGGUGUAGAUUUAGUUUGUGCUCCGCACACAUAAUUAAUCGCUAAGGCAACCACCGCCGGCGCUGUUUGUUCUGGAGUCAAUAUUUCUCCGCCUUGCACGAACUGUCUUCUUUGCCACCACAGGAACCAACAAACUGUUGAUAUGAGCUCUGGUAGCUCGACCAAUUCAGAACAUUGUCGCCGAUAAGAAUCAUCACGUAAAAUGAACUCCAAGACUGCCGAACUUGCUCGAUGAGCCAAUGAAGCAAAGUUAAUAUCUGCCGCGAUUCCCAAAGCUUCCCAAACUGCUUGCGCCCUUGCACACUUAAACAACAUAUGGGCUAAGUCCUCCGCACCAUCUCUACAGUAUGGGCAUUGGGACAAAUUUCCAACAUGACGAUUCAUAAGAGUACUCCGGCAUGGGAUGGUAUUGUGCAAGCAUCUCCAGAUAUAAAUUUUAACUUUUGCUCGCACUCUCAAACUCCAUAACUUCUUCCAAGUUGGCAGUAGGUGACAAGAGGCACCAAAUAGAGAGGACAUAAUAAUAAAUAGCACACAAGCGGCAUCAGUCACACGCGCGCGGUAGGCUUAUGAUUGGAACUGGAAAGCAAUUGCUUACAUCUCACGCCGUAUUAUUUGGCCGACAUGAGAAGUUCCGAUGGUCAAUGAUCCUACCGCGCAAGGAGUUUUCGUCGGUGAUCCUUCUUUUUGUUUUGUCAAAAUGGAUUCAGAUUUGGUUGUGGAUGAAGAGGUCUCAGUAUCCGGGGCUAAACUCCAUUUGUUGGACUUGUCUCUGCCCAGCUUGGAAAUCCACACAUUCAGGCAUUCAGGAGGAAAUAGACGGACUUAAGGCUCUUCUUCAAAUUUCAAACACUUUGCCCUGGAGAUCAUUAUUUUGGCAGCUUGAGCCAUAUCAGACCACUAUUAAAUGAUUUCAUAUUUAAGGGUAUCCCUCCCAGCCUCUAUGACUAUAGGAGGAAAUUCAAAGAAGAGUUGAAGUGGAUACUCUUUCGAGCAAAAAAAGAAAAAGAAAAAGAAAAAAGAAAGAGGAAUAUGGCAUCACUAACUUCUCUGAUUAUUAGGGAUAAACACUUUCACAGAUUCCCAAUACCCAACAUACGGGUCCACUUGUCAUUUGGAUAUGCCCCCCUCUCUUUGGCGAUGGCAUGGUAGAUGGGAGCUCCUAUUUGGUGCGGUGCGUGAUGGGAAACCAACCAACGCACACACACCGUUUCCCGUGAGCCCUUUUGGCCGGCCCAUGUGUAGGGCGGGAAGCCUCCUGUUUUUUCAUUUUUUUGCUUUCGUUUUCUUUUCUGUUUUUUCCUCUUCAAAAUAAUUUGGGAUUACAAAAAUAUUGUGAGAUAUUAAAAAAUGUUUGAUAAAUCAUAAAUUUUUGUGAAUUUUUUCAUGAUUUAGAGAAAUAUUCAGGAAAUCUUAAAAAGUUCGCGGAUUCAAAACCUUUUUUUAAAUGUUUGCAUCUACAAAAAAAGUUCACGUUUUGAUUAAAAAUUUCAGGAAAUAAUUUUUUUUUUGUGUAUUAAAAAAAUAUUUCUGAAUUUCAAUAAAUGUUUGAGAUUUUUAAAUGUUCACAAAAAUGUUUGUGAUUUUAAAAAAAAAUCAAACAAAAAAUGUGUUCAUGAAAUUUAGAAAUUGUUCCCAAAUUUCAUUAAAUGUUCGUCGAUCCAAAAGAUGUUAUUGAGUUCCAAUUUAUUUACACGAAUUCAAAAAAUACUCACGAUUCAAAAAAAGUUCACGAAUUUGAAAAAUUUCACAAUUAAAAAAAUGUUCAUGAUUUUUUUUUAAAAAUCACAACUAAAACAAAGUUCAUGAAUUAAAAAAUGUUCUAUAACUUGAAAAAAUGUCCACAAAAUUGAAGAGAAAAAGGGUAAAAGAAAAGAAAAGACUAAAAAGAAAAUAAAAAAGUUAACAUGAAAAAAUGAAAAUAAAAAAAUAAAAAUGAAAAAAGCAGAAAAACCCGAAGAAAGAAAACAAAAAACUGGAAAGGAUCUAGGUGGGCUGACCCAAGCGUACGUAAUGGGNNNNNNNNNNNNNNNNNNNNNNNNNNNNNNNNNNNNNNNNNNNNNNNNNNNNNNNNNNNNNNNNNNNNNNNNNNNNNNNNNNNNNNNNNNNNNNNNNNNNNNNNNNNNNNNNNNNNNNNNNNNNNNNNNNNNNNNNNNNNNNNNNNNNNNNNNNNNNNNNNNNNNNNNNNNNNNNNNNNNNNNNNNNNNNNNNNNNNNNNNNNNNNNNNNNNNNNNNNNNNNNNNNNNNNNNNNNNNNNNNNNNNNNNNNNNNNNNNNNNNNNNNNNNNNNNNNNNNNNNNNNNNNNNNNNNNNNNNNNNNNNNNNNNNNNNNNNNNNNNNNNNNNNNNNNNNNNNNNNNNNNNNNNNNNNNNNNGCGCUAGGUCGCCCACGCGCCAAAUAGGACAUGCGAUGGCAGACAGAGGUGCCGGUCGCAGGCGUGAUAACGGGUCAUCGACGACCUCCAGUGCUCCAGCACGGCGGCGACAACAGUGGCACGUUCGGCGAGAACGACGACGAGGCGAAUGACAUGAGGUUAGUGGGCAUGUGGCCGGCAUAUGGUCCCACACUUUUGAGAGGGUAUUGGGAGAGAUUACCGCCCCACCCCCUCCAUAUAGUGGGAGUUGAGUUGUUUUUAUUGGUGGUCACCAAUAAUUUAUUGAAAAAAGGGGAGCUGUUUUUUUGCCCAAUACUCAAUACCUAAGUACUUAUAAGUGGAGAUAUUGAGAAAAAGGGAUGUUUGAGAUGCUCUAACAUACUGUAUCAAUUGCUAUUUGAGCUACUCACAGUACAUAAACACAUGGCCAUGCAACUGAAUGACUCAGCAGGAUCUAAUCGAAGCACAUGUACACCACAGGCAUAACCACCGGUAUAUUAUGCUUCCGAAAUAAGCUCAGCUAUUUUCGUCGAAAAGUGAGCUCAACUAUGACCACAUAUCGGUCCAGCAUAGCCACAGUACUACUACCAGAUUAAGUUCAUGACAGCAGAUGUAGCAAUUAGGAGUCGCCGCCUAGAUCAAUAACCCCAUUGGGCAGGUGUCGCCCUCCCGAUUGACGGCGUCCGUCCGUACCCUCAGUCUCCCGGUUGGAUGGAUGAGGAGCCAUGGCCGAGGGAGACACGAUCAAGCGAAACUGGAAAGCGAGCGAGCACAUGCGGCGGAGAGCGAGGGUGCAUGCGUUCACGGGGAGCACGCAUCGUUGGCGCGGCCGCCCAUGUGAUCUCGUGUGAUGUUUAGUUUAGGAGAAUGAUUAAUCCUACACAGUGACACUGUGUAGCAUUUUUUCCCUCAAAAAAAAAAUCCUACACAGUGACACGAUCUAGUCUAGCGCUUGGCUCCUGAUGGUGGCCCCCGCUGCCUACAAGACGGCGUCGGAAACGGUCGCGGAGAGGAUGAGAGGUAGCGGCUGCCGGCAGGGCACAUGGCUUGCGCUCUUGCAGGGCAAGGACUGCCUCGAAGAAAAGGCUGCCUGGCCAGCCAGCCUGCUCGAGCAACUGAUGUUAUUGUUCGUGUCCCCUGAAUCGCAGACCAAUGGCAACUGGGUUUAUCUGCAACUUGUUUAACUCUGGGAUGAUUUUGCUACCGCCUACGGAGUAAGAGCAGCUUCAACGGGCUGACCAAAAUGGACGGCGCAUUUGUCCAAACACGGCCGCCUUUUCGGCGUCCGCUCAGUUUUGUAUUUGGAUCGGCAGUGCACCCAACGCGUCGACUCAUUUCAUGUCCGCAUUCGACUUAAAAAAAA